Molecule: long non-coding RNA, 56135 nt
Filed under: Cicer arietinum (chickpea)
Lineage: Eukaryota; Viridiplantae; Streptophyta; Magnoliopsida; Fabales; Fabaceae
Description: long non-coding RNA (CARI_LNC002132)
Source: RNAcentral
UUUCAGAAAGAGAAAAUGCUCCUGUUUUAUCAAUUGAUGUCAUAUCCACUUUUUUAGGUUUUCCAAAUCCAAAAUCAAUACCAUAAACUUCAAACCUUGGUGAUCCAGCAAUAGAAUAAAUUUUAGUACUUUCACUUCCUUCUAAUAUAUAAGAAAGCCAAUUUUUUGCUCCAUUCAAAACUUCACCAUCUUUAACUCUCUUCAAACUUUCAUUAAUCCCUUCCAAAGCAACAAAAAAUCCAUUUUUUCCAACUAAGUCUUUUGUCUCCAAAACAAUCUUUUGUCCUGCAAUACAAUUUCCAAAAUACAUAGGAGAAAUUGGAGGGUCCAAUCUUGUUCUACAAUCAACACUAAAUAUGAAAAUCACUUUAUCAACCUUAGGUUGUUCUGCUUUUGCUAAACAUGACAACAUAUAAGCACAUGUAACUGAAAAAGUAGACAAAUGAACCUUAUUUUUCAUCUCAUUUUGUGCAUGUUCCUUAAGCUUUUGAAUAUUUGAAGGUGUUAAUUGAAACAACCUUUUAACUUUAUCAUUUUUCACUUUACUAGAAAAAUCCCACACCUUUAAACUUCUAUUAUUUGGUCCACCAUGCUUCAUCCAUGCAUCCACAAAUGCUUCACUGAUUCCAUUAGAAUCUUGUAUCACUGAUCUAUCCCAAAAAGGUGUUAGUUCUUUAGGUAAUGAUAAAGAUGAUAAUGUUGAUUGUGAGUUUUGCUGAGAGAUAAGUAAAGUCUGACCAAAGUUAAAACAUGUAUUUUUUUCGGUCUUAAGUGUCUGAUUUUCAGGAGAAAUGAGUCCUACUAAUUCAGAAUUCGGUUGAGACGAAAGUAAAGUCUGGAUAAGGUUAGAACAUGUAUAGGCCCAUGAUUUCAUAAAAAUGGUUGAAGAAUUUCCAUCAAAAGUAGCAUGAUGAGUGGUAAUUCCAAUGCAAAAACCAAAGUUUGGAAACAAAGUGACUUGAAUUGAAACCAAAGAAGCUUUUUCAUGAGAAGUUUUCAAAAGGGGUAUCAAGUGAUAUCUUUGUGAAGCAUCACAAUGAUUGGAAGAAAGAUCUUUGAAACUUGCUUUGGAUUCAACAACAGUGAAGGAAACAGAAUCACCAAGAACAUAGUUGAUGAUUGGUUUUGAAGAAUCAUUAGGCCAAAUAAUGUUACCAGCAAGAGGUAGAAAAUGUUGAAGUGUGAGUGAAAGUGAGUGUUUGAGAUUUGGAAGAAUGGAAUCAUAGAAAGAAAUGGUUGAGUUUUUUGUGAAUUCAUAGAAGAAGAGUCUUUCAACAGGUGGAAAUCUUAACCAUAAAAGAUCAAAGAAAGUUAGUGGAAGUGAGGUUGGAGAUUGAAAAGAUUCUGUUGUUUCAUGAAUUGGUUCAAUGUUACAAACUUCAACAAUUUUUGAUGAUUCUUCUUGUGCCAUGGCCUAUCUAGCUUGUCAAGGAGAAAGAAAGAUAAGUGUGUAGCCAUUGGCCAAAACAUACUAUAUAGGCAAAAUUAAAAUCAAAUACUUUAUUUUUAUUGGUAAAAUUUCAUUUUAAUCUUAUAAGGAUAUUACAAUGUCAUUUUGAUCUUUGAUACACAAAAAAAAUUUAACUAUUAAAUUAUUAAAAUAUCAAUUGGUUUAGUUGUUGACAUUAUAACUAUCAUGAAUUAUUAAAUUAUAAUUUAAGUUUUUUCUAAAUUAUAUAAUAAAAUAAUAACAUCCUAUUUUAUUUAGUUUUAAUACUUUUAUAUUUUUAUUUAAUUAGUUAUUUGUCUUUUAAAAUAUGUACAAUAUAAAUACAAAGUAAAUCAUUUUAUUAAAAAGAUAUCAAAGAUAACAAACUAUGUAAAAUCAUUGUUAGUAAAUUUUAUUUUUUAAUUAAAAAAAAAAAUCUUCAUCACUUUUCUUCAACCCUAUCUUUAUCAUCUUCUACAUGUUUUGAUACCAGAUGUGGUCCAAUUGUAUAAUGUGUAUUUAUUGUCACCAUUAUGAUUGAAAGUAAAUGAAAUUUAAAGAUAUGACAUAUACAGGUGCCGACAUAGGAAUGACAUUAUGAUUUCUUGAAAAUGCUAGACAAUGUUGUAGAUUCAACUUGUACAAGUGACAGAUGUAAUUUAUUACAUGUCAGCUAAUAUAUGAGUAUUAAUUGCAAGUACUAUCAGUUAUAAUUUAUGAAUUUUGUAUUUGUCUCCACCAAUGCAUGACACACAAUACUCCCGUUAUUCAAGAACCCUAUGAAGCCACAUAUUUUUAAUCCUCUUAUCUAUAUAUAUAAUUCAAUUAUCAACAUACUAUUAUCAUCUUAUUUCAAUCUAAUUUUCUAACAUAUUGUAAAAAUUAAAAUUUUAACUUUCUAUUAUUCUCUCUUUUACUUAUCUAUAUUUUAUCAUAUUGUUUUAUCUCUCUUACUUUAUAUUUUUAUCACUUUUUAUUCUUUUUACUUUUCUCAUCUCUCUUAGUUUUUUAUGUUUAAUAAUUUUUUUAUUUUUUUCCUAAUUAUAUUAUCUUUCUUGAAUUUUCAUAAUUUUAUUACUUUCUUUUCUUUUUAGUUUCACAUUUAAAAUUAAAAAUAACUACAUUCAAUCUUUCACCAUCUUUUUCUCCACCAUUUCCCCCUCUUUUUAUAUUUUCCAAAUCUUAUGAUGUUUUUUUAAUUACUUUUUAUUUACUAUUUAUUUAUAUAAAAACAAUUACUAUAGAAAAAGUAUGUAUAGCAUUUCUUCACAUUCCUAUAUGUUUAAAUUGUAGGUUAAGAUUGUCAAUUUGUAAAUAAACUAUAUCAAAUUAUUAAUCCUAACAUUCUCUCUCAAAGUUACAUCAUUUUUUUUCUUUCUCUUCAAUCAUUUUUUUUUCUUAUAUGUUUUUUUGGUAGAAUGUCUUUUUCUAUUAUUUUAAUGAUAACAUAUAUUGUGGUACAUGAUUAACAUGGACUGGAAUAACUUGACUUAAAUAUAUAAUAUAUUUAAUUAUUUAACUUAAUUUAAUUAAUUAAAAUUUUAAAAAUUAUUCAAUAAGUUUAUUUGACGCCUUGGUUCAAUAUUAGGGAGAAAUAAAAAAUCAAAACCAAUUAAAAACAUGUGGUUUGGUUUAAUUUGGAUUCUGCAAUAACAGAUCUGUUUUAUUUAGUUCAAUGUAAUUGUCAUUGUUAAAAAAAUUAAAAACUUUUUUAUAAAAAAAAAAAAGUUAUUUUCACACAUUAUGUUUAACAAAUUUUGAUCAAUAAAGAUUUAACGAAUGAGAUUGCAGUAUUUUCUCAUGAAAUCUGAACUAAAUCAAACUUUUAGAAAAUAUUUUUCUAUAAAUUAUAUAUGGGACAAAAAUGAAUUCCAAUGGUCAAAUAAUUUUAAAAAAAAUAAUCUUUUAUGGAUUGAUUAAUUAAAAAAGAACCGUGUAAUUCACAGAUCAAUUAAUUACAAGAGCAAUUGUGUCUUUUACCACUAAUAUGUUAGUUAAAAGAAAGUUUUUCAUGAAUCAAUUAUAUUUUACUAGUUAAUUCUAUGGUGCACAAAGAUAAGUUUUGCAUCACACACAAAUUUAUUUCUACAAUUAGAUUAAUAAGUCCCACAAUUAGAUCAAAUGAGAUUUGAUGGGACUUAUAAAUCUUAAUGGUAUAAAAUAAACUUGUGCAAGACUAUCUUGUGUUAAUUAGAAAAAGUCUGAUUUCCUAUAUAAACAAAACACGAGAUAAAAUAUUUUUUGUUGGUCAAUUAGUUAAAAUAUAAUUAUUAAUUAUUUUGUUAAAAGUUUUAUUAUUAGUUUGUCUAUUGAAUGAAUUCUAAUUAAAAUUUUGAAAAAUAUUAUAAUACACUAAUUAUAAUAUUAUAUAGAAAUUAUAUAUGAGAUAAAUAUAUAGUCAUAGAUAAACUAUAUGAUUUGUCCAAUAAUAUUAUGGGAGAAACCAUACAUGAGACAAAUGUUUCUAAAUAAUCAAUUUGUUAAAAUAUAAUUAGUCACAAUUUAAUUAGUUAAAAGAUAAAUAUGUAUUUGAUUACUUGUGUGUUUUUUGAAUAUUUAUAUACUAUAUAAGAGAGAAGUGUAGAAAAAUAAUAUUUAAUAAAUAAAUUAUAAAUAAGUUAUAUAAUUUAUUGGCUAAUAAAUUUAUAUCAAAUAAAUAUUAUCCCUAAUUUUUUUAAAUGAAGUAUAUAAUUUUUCUAUCAACUAACUUUUUUAUAGAAGUUUUGGAAUUAUCUCUAGAUUUUAUAAACAUCUAUUUUGAUCAACUAUAAAAAAUUUGGACUUUUGUUGAUGGUGACAUUAAAUAUACCAUACUAAAACUUAAUAGAUGAAGAGGGCAAUUUUAUUGAAAGAUGUGUGACUUCAAAAUUUUAAUAUUUAUUUUAAUCUAAACCUUCAAUUAUUAUAUUUAUUUCACUAUUAAAAUUAUUUUUAAAAGUUAAUAUUUAUUUUUUAAAAUUAGAUUUUUAAAUAUACACGCAAUGACCCAGACAUGUACAAAUGCAUAAAUAUUUUAUUAAUUCUUGUGAAGAUAAACCUUUAUAAUUCACAGGAUAAAAAAAUAAGUAAAAUUUAGUUAAGAAUUAUUCAAUUAAAAUUAAAAUCAAAAUUAAUAUAAAUACGAUUUAUUUGUAAUUAAAAAUCAUUAACAACUUCAGUUCGAUUAAUUAACUUAUACGAUGCUCGUCUAAAUGCGGAGAGAAUUAAUUGCAAGUCCAACAGUUUUUAUUAGGCGUUCUAGACCACAAUUUCAUACCUUCCAUUCUAUCUCAUCAACAGUGUUAUGCCAUUCAAAUUGAAAUAAUAAAAAUAAAUGUAACUCAUACUUUUUUAGAAUGAAAUAUAAAUGAUAUUUUUAAUAUGUGUAAUUUAAUUAUUUUGUUUAUAAUUUAUUCCAGAUUUAUCAGUAAUAAACUUCAGGGCUAGUAUGUAUGAUUUAUUUUGUUCAAAAUAUCAUGUUUGAUGAAUUUCUGUGUGCAUUUGAAAAAAUAUAUGGUUGUUUAUAUCGAGCUACACCACUGGUAUAAAUUGGAAAUGAAAUAAAUUCAAUAAAUUCUGCUUGAAUUGAUUUGUGAGAUAAUUCAAUCGAUAAUCGACACUUUUCUAAAUUUUCUCAUAUGGCUGUCAACUAUUGACAACCAAUUUACUCUCAAGUUAGCCUAUAAUAACCUCACAAACCAUGAGACUAAUUUUGACUCGAUAAUAUUGUUCAAGAAGGUUUGGAGUUGACAGGUCCCAAUCAGAGUUAGGACGACACUUUAAAAGAUGGUACAUGAAAAACUUUUGACAAAUACUAAAAGAUGUCACAGAAGCAUGGCCUUCGAAGAUCUCUCUCAGCGUUGUCUCUCUGCACCUAAGACCCUUAUGCACGUUGUGAGAGAUUGUGAAGAUGUUCAACUACUUUAAAAUAGAGUUAUUAAGUCUGAAUUUUGGAGUAAUUUCUUUAGCCUUGAUAUUUAUACUUGACUUGAAAGGAAUCUUACUCACAACGAAAUUGAAAACAUCCAUUAGACAAAUGUUCUUUAAUGUGACAGUUAAUGAACUAUGGAAAAAUUGAAACUCUUUUGAUUCUCAAAGUACAAAGAUGGAGAGUGAUUUGUGGGAUUAAAUUUCUAACCACCUUAACUUUAAUCAUAACUCUUUGAUCAAAAGUAAGGUUCUUAAGCAGAACUUGAUAACCCUAACCAAAAAGUAUGGAUUAAAUCCCCGUAGGGUAAUGAAGAUGAAUGUUGACGGUGCUUACACCUAUAUUGAUAGCUCCUCAACUUGUGGAGAAUCCUUCACGACCAUAAUGGUCAGUUCAUAUGUGGUUUCUAUUGGGAAAUGUCAGCCAGUAGCUCCUUAAUUUUUGAAUUAUAAACUUUUUGCAAUGGUGUUUUAUUGACUCGUGAUCAAGGUAUUCAUAAAGUUAUUUUAGAAGGUGACUUCAUGACUCUCCUCUCCAUGAUCAAAAAAAUAUGUGCUUAGUUUACUCCCUACCUUAUCCUCUACAAAGAGAUUAUCUCUAUAUUGCAUCAAACGAACUGAACUUACCCACUUUAUUAUUCUUUCAACAGAAACAAAUAAAUGUGCUCAUUAUUUAGCUCAACUUGAUCACAAUAGUUUUUUUGUUUUGUUCAAACGGUACACAUUUGUCUUUGUUAGAUUUGUUUUUGAUGUAUGAGACUGAAAGUUUUCAUUCUCAUAUUUUAUUUUAGUUAAUAUAACUCUUUUUAAUAAAUAAAAAAGAAGAAAUAUAUAUAUAUAUAAGAUAUUUUGUAGGUGGAGAAAAUUCUUAAUUAUGUAUUUUUAUUUAUCGUUCUAUAUAAAAAUUUAAAUGUAACUAAAAAAUAUAUCACAUCCUUAAAAUAAAGAACAAAUUCUAUCAAAUCUUAAAAAUAUUCUAACAAUAAUUUUAAAUAUAAAUUAUAUCAUAAUAAUAUUUUAUUUUAAAUCCUAAAUAUAUUUAAAUUUAAAUAUAAAAUUAUAAUCUCUAAAAUAUAUUUAAGCAUUUUAUUCUUAUCAAUAAAUUUUUGAACAAAACAAAUUCUACAAUUGAUUUGAAGUUUUUUGACAUUAAAUUUAUCUCCUUUUAGUCAACUUCUUUUUACUUUGUGAGUUCUAUAAUUAAAACAUCGGAGUUUUCAUGGUUGCUAGAUAGUUUUUCACCCACGUCCUUAAAAUACUCCACUCGUUUUCAUAUAUUAACAACAACAAAAAAUUCAUCCUUUAAAAAAGUAGUUAGCUUUGUUUAAUUUUCUCAAAAUAAUAAAAGAAAAUUGUAUUAUUUAAGGUUUUGUUUGUUGAGGAAUUGUAUCCUUUAAUCGUUCAUGAAAAUUUGUUCCAUGACAAUUAAAUAAACUAUUGGAAAAAAAAAGUCUACUAGUGCAUGAAUUAAAAGGGAAUUAUAGCAUUAAAUAUAAUUAAAUUAAACAAAUUUUACUUAUAUUUGAUACUAACAAAAAUAUAAAUUAAAACUUUUUACGAAAUAAUUUAAAAGCUUUGUCAAUGUAAUAAAUACAACACUUUUUUCAAUGAAAGAUGCAUUACUUUUACAUUAAAAGUUGCCACCCAUAAGUUCUUAAAUAAUACGCUAAAUAUAUUCAUUAGCGUUCUUCAUAAUAGAUUAUUAUUAUUAUUUUGAGUGAAUUCUUCAUAUUAUAUUUUUAUAAAUUCUACUCGCUGUGAAAUGAUAAAAAAACAAAAAUAUUAUGGAUAUCAAGUGUAAAAUUCAGAUUUUUGUAUCUUAAAUUACAUUUAUAUUUUUCUCUUAGUAAUUAAUUAUGUGAUUGUUAUUAUUAUUAUUUUUAAUUAUCACUUCUUUGAAUUGUAUGUGGGUAAGAUGAUUUAAUUACUUUCACUAAAUAUUUUGUUAAAUUGUGUUAAAAUUAUUUCAACAAAAUAAAUAAAUAGAAAGGAAUUAGAUGAGUCAAAUGUUCGUGUCCCAUUUGUUAGUAAUACAAGGAUAUAAAUCCUUAAUUAGUUAAGAAAUACAAAUACAUGAAGUUAGAAUAAUAAAUAAAUAAGUAAGGAAGAAGAAAAGUGUGCCGCGUACUAUUUUGCUUGACCGAUAUGGAGGAAAUGAGAAACGAAGCAGAAACGCAGAAUAAGAAAUUUGGUUUCGGCAGUGAAUGGUUGUGUAUGUUGCUUUUUUUUUUUUCUUAAAUUGAUUUUUUGUUUAUAUUUUAAUAUUUCAGUAUUAAAAUAAUUGACCUAUUUAUAAAAACAAUCUCCAAAUAAAUCUAUAAUUUUUUUUAUUUUCAAUAUAUUUUUUCGAAAAUAUAUUUUAAUUUAAUUAUAUAAUUUCUAAUACAAUAAAUAUUAUUUAAUACGAGAUGUAUUGAUUAUAAGUAUACACAUUUUAUUAAUCACUUACAACAUUUCAUUAUCCACUAAAAAUAUAAAUAAUUAAUUACAUAUUUAAUAUAAUUAUAAAAUGAUUCAAGUAUAUAACUAUCAUGUUAUAUUAAUUAUUUUAAAGUAUUUUAUUAACUAAUAAAAUAUUCUUCGUUAAAUAUAUAUAUAUAUAUAUAUAUAUAUAUAUAUAUAUAUAUAUAUAUAUAUAUAUAUAAUCUUAUAUUUGUAUAUAUGUUAUUUUGGGAUGAUAAUCCUUACUAUUGAUUUAUUUGAGCUAUACACCACCCCUUAAUUGAUGAAAAUGCAAGAAAGUAUAAUAACAUUCAGUUGGAGAUUUCGAGCUUUGUUGUGAUAAUUUCUACGAGUUUCCAAAGUCAACACCAGCUAAAAUUUAUUUUUAGUAGUAAAAAGUCAAGAAUUUUGUUUUAGGAAUUUACUUUGGUUUAUGCAUUGGGCUUACUCUUUAUAACAACUAUGACUCUUAUUUACUAUUUUAUAAAAUCUAUAAGGUAAAGUUAUUAUUUUAUUUUAAAGCAAAUAGUAUUUUGAGAUGAUUUUGCUUUUAAAAAAAGAAUUUAUAUCUUUACAUUAGAGUUUCAUUAGCUAACAUCCACAAAAGCGAGAUGGUAUAACCCACUUGAAUUUAUUAAGGAGAGUGAUGAAAAUGAUGAGAGUUUCUUCUCCCACCUUUAAUGCUCUUUAGAUUGACUAACCUUCAUGCAUAUUUUGAUCAAAAAAAGAAUUGCUUCUAGAUUGACCAAUUUAAAAGUUUAUUUUGGAGGCUUUUGGCAACAUAGCGGAGUAGGAGAAUAAAUUACUUAGGCGACAUAUUAUUUGGAGAUGUGGAUCAAAACCCAGUUGAAAAAUGAAAUGAGUUGUGUAAAUAGUGGCCUAGUGGAUCGGGAAACUCGUUGUGUCAAAUCUGAGUGACUCAAGUGAGAUGUUUAAUUAGUGUCGCUAUAUCGUUUGAACUCUUAUCUCAUUUAUAACACCUUUUUCUCAUAUAGUAUGAAAAAAUCUUCGGAUCACUCUAAAAUAUUAUGUGAUGAAAUAUCUUUAAAAAUAAUUUUGUAAUUUAAAAAAACACCGAUUUUAACUUUGAUGUGAAAAUAACUUGAGUUUAAAAUCAAUGUGCAUGAAAAUAAAAUACCUGAAAAUUAGAAAAUUAAAAUAAUUGAAAUGUAAAGUGCGUAAAAUGUAAAUUACAUUGAAAGUAAAUGACUAGAAAGAUAAAUUAUGCUAAAAAGUAAAUGACGUCAAGACUCUUUUGAUCGCAUGGUAGCACGUGACUUCUAUCAACCUAUAAUUAAUUGGCACUACAUCAAGAAGUAAUUGAUGAUUAGUAUAAAUGUAUUUUAUAGGCCAAAUAACACUCGUAGUUCCUUAACUUAAUUUCAAUUAACAUUUUAGUCAUUUAUCUUUUUUUUUUUUCCCGAUUUGAUUUUUUAUUUUAAUUUUAAGUGACAAUUUGAUCUUUUAUGUUUUAAAAUGUCAACAAUGUUAUCCUUCUUUUUUUUCAAAAAUUCAAAAAAUUAUCAAAUUUUUCAAAUAAAAACCAUAAAAUUAAUUAUAUUCUUCAAUAUAAUACAAAUUUCAUAAAAUUCGUAACUCAAAUAUUCAAAUAAACUCAUAUUUUCAUUCUUUAUUGGAUGUUGUUAGAGAUGAAAAUAUGAGUUUAUUUAAAGAUUUAAGUUAUGAAUUUGAUGAAAUUUGCAUUAUAUUGAUAAUGAUAAUUAACUUUAUGGGUUUUGUUUGAAAUUUUUGCAAAAAAAAAAAUGAUAAUAUUAUUGACAUUUUAAACUCUCACUUGUUUUUAUUUUAUUUUUUAUGCGGCUGCUUCUGGUUGUACAUAUUGUGCAAAUAGAUGAUGAGUUGGUAUGAGAAGAUAAAAUUGAAGAUGAAGUUGACGAGUGACGAACAUGAUGUGAUCACAUUACUAGAAUUUAUCUUAUCAUUUAGUUUGUUGCGCCCAGGGAUGAGAAUGUGUAGGGUUUGAAUAUGGUACUAUAGUAUCCGUCUUCAUACCCGCGAUUUAAAAAAAUACUCAUACUCGUGUCCGUAUCCUCUUGAGUAUCAACUUUAAUACCCGCACCCUUACCCUCUGAGUACUUAAGUGCCCGUACUCAUACAUUACCCACAUUUUAACUAAAAAAAUGGAUAAAUAAAUAAUAUUGUUGGGAUUAAAUUUAAAAAUUAUUCAAAUAUCUUAAAUUGAAUCAUAAAAUAUUAUAAAUCAAAAUAUUUUCUAACUCAAAAUAUUUCAAAUGAACACUCAUUACAAUACAUAUUUAAUAUAUCCAUAAUAAUAUUUUAUGAAGUUGCAAGUCAUACGACAAUAUUAUCUAAGAUAAUUGAUACAAAAAUUGCAAGUAUAAUUAUAAAGUCACGAUUAAUAAAAUAUAACUAUUAGCUAUAAAAUCACAAUUAUUUACCUAUUUAUCAUAAUCAGAUUCUUAAAAAUUUUGCAAACGUUUAUGUUUCAAUUAUAAAUAUUGUAGUGGUUCAAUGAUAUUAAUAGAUGUUAAAACAUAAAAGAAAACAAUUAAUUAAACUAAACACUAAUAUAAUAAAUAAAUAAAUAACUAAAUAAAUAAUAUAUUUAUAUAAGUGCGGAUGCGUGGCGGGGUGGGUACUAUAGUACUCGCACCCAUACCUGCUUAAUUUUGCGGGUAAUUAUCCGUCCCUAUGUCUAUACUCAUUAUGCGAGUUUUUACUCUAUCAAUUGUGAUUUUUUUGUGUGAAUACGUACUGGAUCUUUGUCUAUUUGUCAUUCCUAGUUGCGUCAUGUUAAUUUAUUUUUGUUAUUUUGAGAUUAUAAGAAUAAUUGUGAUGUGAUUAUAGUUACAUUCGAAUAACUUUCUAAGAAUCGAUUUCGUCCAAAAUAAUUUUUGAGCAAAAAAUGUCAUGAAAAAUAUUUCUAAGGAUUGGGUAAUAUCCUCGGUAAAGUCAUGAAAAAAAAAUGUUGGUUUGAGUUUUUGCAAGACGAUUGGUGAUUUGACUUUUAGCAGAGUAAUUUCUAAGAAAUUACUGCCGUGUAAUUUUUUAGGAUGAGAAAAGUUUCAGAAGUAGUUUCAAUUUUUUAAAUCUAAAAUACUUUUUAGAAAUAUAUAUAUAUAUAUAGAUGGUGAAGAAUAGAAGAAGGAAUUAAAUGACCAAGAGACUAAGAAAUAUAGUGAUUAAAAGAAACUAAAGAGAUAAAAAAUUAGAUAAGAGUGAAAGCUUAGUUUUUGAAAAUCUAAAAAAAAUAACUUAAAUCAUCAAUCUAAAAAUACUUAAAUAAUGAAAACCUUAUCUUUUGUUUUUUGUUUUGUUUUGAAUAAUGAACACUAUUUUAUUUUCUUUUAUUUCACACUUUAGAGUUUAUCUAUCCUUGUACAAGAUUUAGAUCCAAUAACAAGAUUGAUGUUCUUUUUAACACAAAAAAUUAGAAACCUUUAGAAUUAACCUAAUUAAAUAUACUUAAGCAACAUUAGUUUAAAGAGAGCAAAAGUACCAAAAUAUGCUCACCAAAAUACCUAUUGCAACAUUUAUAUAAUGUCUUUUGACAAUAACAUUAGUUGUUAGUUGUAUUUUGUGGUAAUAAUCAAACACUAAGAAUUAAUAGAUUUAAUUAUAAUUUUAAUUUCCCUAUUUUUAUUGAUUUAUAAAAUUGGUCUCCCUAUUUUAAAAGUCGACAAUUUUGGUUUCUCUCUUAUUUUUUAACUAAAAAAUAAUGACGUGUGAUGCUUUAAAUAAUGUGAUAUAUGAUACGACAAUAUAAAAUAAUUAACAUUAUUGAAAUUUGAAUACAACGUUGUAAAAACUUAGCUUUCAACUUUAGAAUUUUUUUCAUAUUUUUAAUUUAACUAAUGACAUGAAUAAUUAAUGCAUCUAGAUGGUUCUAUAUCAUAUAAUUGUAUGUCAUGUCGCUAAAAACAUAUUUUUAGUUCAAAAAUCUGAGGGAUAAAACAAAACUGUCGACUUUUAAAAUAGGAUGACCAAUUCUGUGAAUUGUUAAUAAUAAAUGGAUCAAAAUUGCAAUUAAACUUAAUUAAUAUUGAUAAACAAUAAAUUUUUAUAAUCGUUAUAUGUUUAUCAUCACAUCACAUGUAGAGAUUAAAUUUGGUCAAAUAGUUGAAGGAUUAAAAAUAAAUUAUCCUAUAUGUGCACAACUUAUCUUUGUUUGUAAAUUAAAAUACUAAACAAGUCACAAAACGGAUCAUCACUUCACAAUCUUUUAAUUGCAUGUAUUAACUAUAAGAGGUAUUCUCAAUGCAAUAAUUAAACUUUGGUAAUAAGUGAUGUCAUAUAAUGAGUGUCUUUUGACAUUUUUAUUAUCCAUAUAGAAAAAUUUAAUAAUUUUUUAUUUGAAAAUUAAAAAAUCACCAAAAUCAAAUUAAAUCUAUAUCAUAACCACAUCUCAAUCCUUAAUUUUCAAAAAAUUAUAAAAAAUUUCAAAUACUAAUUUACAAUUUAAUGCACUCGAUAUCGAUGAUUUUAAAAUCAUUAAAAGAGGAUUCAUAAAUACCGAGACAAUUAUUCACCAAAAUCAUUGAACAGCAAAUCAUAAUGGCCACACUUAGGGAUGGCAAUGGGUAGAGUAUGAGAAGGGGUAGGGUACUAUAGUACCCGUUCCCAUACCCACAAUUUAAAAAAAUACUCAUACAUGUGUCCGUACCCUCUUGGGUAUCAACUUUAAUACUCGUACCCUUACCCUCUGGGUACUUAAGUACUCGUACCCAUAUCCGUUACCCACACUUUAACUAAAAAAAAUCGAUAAAUAAAUGAUAUUAUUGUAAUUAAAUUUAAAAAUUAUUCAAAUAUCUUAAAUUCAAUCAUAAAAUAUUAUAAACCAAAAUAUUUUCUAACUCAACAUUUUAAAUGAACACUCGUUACAAUACAUAUUUAAAUAUUUAUAAUAAUAUUUUGUGAAAUUGCAAGUCAUACGACAAUAUUAUCUGAGAUAAUUGAUACAAAGUUGCAAGUAUAAUUAUAAAGUCACGAUUAAUAAGAUAUAACUAUUAGUUAUAAAAUCACAAUUAUUUACUAUUUAUCAUAAUCACAUUCUUAAAAAUUUUGCAAACGUUUAUGUUUCAAUUAUAAAUAUUGUAAUGGUCCAAUGAUAUUAACAGAUGUUAAAACAUAAAAAGAAAACAAUUAAUUAAACUAAACACUAAUAUAAUAAAUAACUAAAUAAAUAAAUAAUAUAUUUAUAUAAGUGCGGGUGCGGGGCGGGACGGAGUGGGUACUAUAGUACCCGUACCCAUACCCAUACCCGCUUAAUUUUGCAGGUAAUUACCCAAACCCAUUAUGCAGGUUUUUACCCUAUCCAUUGUCGGUUUUUUUUUGCGGGUACCCACUAAGUAUGGAUCUAAUUGCCAUCCCUAGCCACACUAAACCAAAUAUUGACCAAAUACCCUUUUGAAUAAAACAUACACUUAUAGUAUGUCCAUCUUGAAGCUAUAUAAAUCUGGAUGCAAAUGUAUACACUUUUCUUUUUCUUCAAAAUUUUAGACAUCAAAUAUAUAGCAUGUUCAACCAUAAAACAAAAUAUGGUCACAACGAUUUUGUAAUAAAAAAUACACAAGAUUAAGUUUUGAGUGAAUUGAGUUUCAAGUAGUAAAGAUCCAUGAAAUAAGAGUCAUAUCAGACUAAUUAAACAAACCAAACGAGAGUAAAACUUAAUUUCAAUAUCGAAAUCCUUUUAUUAAAUAUGACAAACAAAAGUAAAACUUUAUAUAAUAUAGGACGCAAUUAACAAAAGUACUAUUAUGUCAAGAUUAUCUGUAUCCAACCAACAUCAAUUCUCGAUUAAAAGGGUAUUGUACAAUUCGGUGAGGAUAAUAACAAAAGACUAUGUAAAAUUAAAGGAGAUAUACUAUGUUCUUUGGAAAAUAAACUAUAUUUUUUAUAAUGGAUUGACAUAUUUAAGAUCGUUCAUUGAUUAUAUUUUAAACUUAUUUUUGACAUAAAAAAUAAGUAACAUAAUCAUAUUAAGUAAUAUUAGGAAAAAAAUUACUAGUAAAUAUUCUUUAAAAAAUAUAUAAUUUAAAUCAUAGUCUUUUCACCUAUUUAAUUAAAGAUUAUUAUUAUUUUGGUAGAUAGUAUUUUGUUUACCAUGCGAUAUUCUAAACACCCCAAUCAAUCUUGUUUUGUUUUCUACUAUUAGUUGUGUCCUUUAUGGAGUUCCAUAAUUAUUACCUUGCUAAAAUAAAUGACACGUAAACUCACCAAACAGCAAUAAAAGCACUUUGAUAGAACAAAGUCACUUAAUAAUGCAUAAACAACUUUUUGAAGUGUAGUGAUCAUGUUAGACUAAAUUUGCAUUCAUAUGAGUUAAGAAACAAAAUAAGCAACUCUUACACUCGGAUAUUUUCUUCUAGUUUUCAAUUUAAGCAAAAAUAGAGUAAAAAAUUAACGUAUCUGAUUUAAAAUUAGUUAAUAUAUUUAAUUUAAAUUUAAAACACAUAAAUAUUUUUUUACUCCACUUUUAGUUAUAUUUAAGACGGAAGGAAGUAUUUUCACAAAAUCUGUUGAAACAUAUAUUUUGAUUGAUGUUGCUUUGUUAGAAGGGAUAUCAUAUGGGUGGUUUUUAAAAUAUUCAAUGAAUUUGAUUCAAGUAUUUAUUAGUUUUCACUUCUAAGAUUCCUUAAAAUCUAAUUUUCAUAGCUACUCUUCAAAUGCAUUCUGAGCAAACCUUAAAAACUAAUUUUUUUUUUAUAUAUUUAUUUAAAAAUAAAUUACCGUUCUAUGAUCAAACUCUUACUGUUAUUGAAGUAACAUUUGAUAGAAAAACUUCUUAUACAAUCUUUCUUGCCCAGUUUAUCAAAUAUAUUUUCAUAGGAAUAUCUUAUAUAUGUAUUUGUAGAAACUUGGUAAGAAGACAAAACCAUGAGAACAUAAAUCUCUUAGGUAAAUGUUUAUGAUCUAUAUUUUAAUUGAACUUCAAAAGGUAAAUUAAAUAAUAAAUUUUUUAAUAUUGCAUGUUGUGGGACUUCAAGUAGGUAGUUUUGCAAUGUUUAUCUACAUCAUGAACAAGAUAAAAAAUUUAGUUUCACUAAAAUAUUUCAUUGAACAAUUGUUCCUUAAAUAUUUCUAUGAACAAUUUUUGUAUGUGAUUUUAAAUAAAGUCAUGCGUAUCAAUUGAAUUUUUGUAAAAAUAUUUAGAAUAUUAUAAGAAUUUUUUUUAUAAUAUUUAGAAUUUUUAUUAAAGAUAAAUUAAAUAUAAAUUUUUAAAUACUAAAAGUCUAAAACAAUCAUAUUUAACUCGUCAUUUAUUAAAAAAAAAUUAAAUUUUUAUAGGAGAGAUCCUUAUAAUAUUCUACACAUGUAUACAAAAAUAAUUUUAAAAUUCAAACGAUACAUAUGAACUAUUUUAAAAGUUGGGACCAAAAUUUUUGAUAAAAAAUAUUUGAUGGACCAUUGUUUGAAUAAAUUUUUUCGAUAAACAAAAAACAAAAUAUAGUAUAUUUAUAAAAACAAAUAACUUAUUUAAUUUUUCUUUAUAUAUAGCAGAAACAUAUUAAUUUUGUUUAGGAAAAAAAACAUAUUACUUUAUCCUAAUUACAUGAUUUAAUGUAUUUUAACUUUUUGGUAUUUAACUAAAAAAAACUUCCUUAGCAUUUCACCUUGGUCAUAUUAUUAUAAACAUUACUAGAUUUCAACCACACCACCAUGUUUAUUGAAAUUUUAUUUUAAUCUCCAACAUUCUUAAUCCACUAAAUUACACCAAUGAAUUACAACCAAUAAAUAGAAUACAUCUUUCAAAGGGUACUCUAGCUCAAGAGAAUCUCUAGAUGUUUGCACUUUUCAUUUAUUCAUCCAAUAAAAUAAAAAGUCUCUAACACAAAUUGCCUAAAACAUACUCAAACAAAUUAUGCUUCCUUCAAACUAGUACUAAAAUUUCAAACUUAUCAUUUGUGAGUGGUUUGUUGUGAGUAUGAUCAAAUUCCUAAACUCAAUUUAUUUAAACUUUUUAAAUAAAAAAGAAAUUCAAACUUCAAAUAGAUUCAAGUCCAUGAACAAAAAGGGAAGAAAAAGCUUCCAUGUCUUCCUUAUUCAAAGCCAAACUAAUCUCAAUUCCACCAUUACCAUUCCUACUUUCAGAAAGAGAAAAAGCUCUUGUUUUAUCAAUUGAAGUCAUAUCAACUUUCUUAGGCUUUCCAAAUCCAAAAUCAAUACCAUAAACUUCAAACCUUGGUGAUCCAGCAAUAGAAUAAAUUUUAGUACUUUCACUUCCUUUAAACAUAUGAGAAAGCCAAUUUUUUGCUCCAUUCAAAACUUCACCAUCUUUAACUCUAUUCAAACUUUCAUUAAUCUCUUCCAAAGCAACAAAAAAUCCAUCUUCACCAACUAAUUUCUCUGUCUCAAACACAAUCUUUUGUCCUGCAACACAAUUUCCAAAAUACAUAGUAGAAAUUGGAGGGUCCAAUCUUGUUCUACAAUCAACACUAAAUAUGAAAAUAGCUUUAUCAACUUUUGGUUUUUCUGCUUUUGCUAAACAUGAUAACACAUAUGCACAUGUAACUGAAAAAGAUGACAAAUUUAUAACAUUCAUUUUUUUCAUCUCAUUUUUUGCAUGUUGCUUAAGCUUUUGAAUAUUUGAAGGUGUUAGUUCAAAUAAACUUUUCAUUGCAUCAUUUUUCAUUGUACAAGGAAUAUCCCAAACUUUGAGACUUUUAUUGUUUGGUCCACCUUGCUUCAUCCAAGCUUCCACAAAUGCUUCAUCGAUUCCGUUAGGAUCUUGUAUCAUUGAUCUAUCAAGAAAAGGUGUUAGAUUUUCAGGUAAUGAUUGUGAUUUUUCAGAAGAAAUUGGCACUGCUAAUUCAGAAUUCGACUGAGAAAUAAGUAAAGUCUGAUCGAAGUUAGAACAUAUAAAGGCCCAUGAUUUCAUAAAAGUGGUUGAAGAUUUUCCAUCUAAAGCAGCAUGGUGUGUGGUGAUUCCAAUGCAAAAACCAAAGUUUGGAAACAAAGUGACUUGAAUUGAGAUCAAAGAAGCUUUUUCAUAAGAAGUUUUCAAAAGGGGUAUCAAGUGAUAUCUUUGUGAAGCAUCACAAUGAUCAGAAGAAAGAUCUUUGAAACUUGAAUUGGAUUCAGCAACAAUGAAAGAAACAGAAUCACCAACUACAUAGUUGAUGAUUGGUUUUGAAGAAUCAUUUGGCCAAAUAAUGUUACCAGCAAGAGGUAGAAAAUGUUGAAGUGUGAGUGAAAGUGAGUGUUUGAGAUUUGGAAGAAUGGAAUCAUAGAAAGAAAUGGUUGAGUUUUUUGUGAAUUCAUAGAAGAAGAGUCUUUCAACAGGUGGAAAUCUUAACCAUAAAAGAUCAAAGAAAGUUAGUGGAAGUGAGGUUGGAGAUUGAAAAGAUUCUGUUGUUUCAUGAAUUGGUUCAAUGUUACAAACUUCAACAAUUUUUAAUGAUUCUUGUUGUGCCAUGUUCUAUCUAUUUUGUAAAGGAGAAAGAAAGAAAGAAAGAAAGAAAGAAAGAAAGAAAUAAAUGUUUAUAGCAUAUGGCAACCAUUGUCCAAAGCAAUAAUAUAUACUAAAAAUUUGAUGAAUACAAUAUUUUAUUCUCACUACUUUAAUGGAAAUUAUAUAAAUGAAAUUUAAUAAUAUUAAAUAAUUGCUCCUAACAAUGAAAGGCAUAUUAUGAUUUAUUUAAAUAUGAUUUUUCUUUCUAAAAUCUUGCUCUAUAUAUAUAUAUAGAAAAUUUGAUUGGAAAAACAAAAUUGACUUCGAAUUUUUAACGAGUUAUGCAAUAGAGAUUAAUUACUAUAUAUGUCUUUAAUUUAUAAAUAUUUAUGAAAAUAAAUUAUUUUCAAAUAUAAGUAUUUUUUUUUAUUCAGUGUAUUUAUUAUUUUUUGCAAAAAAAUAUUUUUAUAUAAUUAUUUAUUUAUUUUAAAAUAUCAAAAAUCAAAUUUGAUACAUUUAAAUAUAAAUAUUAUUUUUUGUCAAAAGAAAGUACAAAUGUUAUUUAUAAUGAUCUACAUAUUAAAUUUAUUAACUACUUUUUUAAUAUAUAUAAAAAAGUAAUAGUUUCUUAUAAAAGAGAGAGGAAUAUAGUACAAAUUAUGAGUCUACUCAAAUGUACUGGUAGGUUGAUUUUUAAUUUACUGUUGACUUUUGAUAUUUAUAAUAUUAUUUAUAAUAUUUUCUGUUGUUGAUAUUAAGUUGAUUUUAUAAUUGUUGACUUUUGAUUGAUUUUCACUUUUUAUAUUUGUCAUGCUAUUUUUUGGUUAUUCUCUAAUUUAUUUUAUUUUACUACAUAAAAGUUAUGUUUGUGUUCAUAUUGAAAAGUAGAAAAAACAAUCUUUAAUUCAGAGAAUUUUCAAUUUUUUUUUCUUUUCAUAUUUUCCAUUUUUCUUUAUCAUUUUUGAUGUUUAAGUUCUAUAUUAAUUGUUUUUGUAUAUAGUUACUAAUAAUAAACUUUGAUUGAUAUUUUAAAAAAAAUUGAUGGAAAAUAAUAAUUAUUUUCUUUUGUUGUCUAUGUUAUGUGUUAUGAUGUAUUGAUAUUCUAUUUUGUAUUGAUGAAUAAUAAUAAUAAAAUGUUGAUACUUUUAUGUUGGAAGUUUUAAUAAUAUAUGUUUUUAGCAUUUUUUAAUUUUUCAAGUAUAUAAAAUUACUUUCUAAAUUAUUUAAUUUUUUUAUAAAAAAAUAUAUGAAUGUUAUUUUGAUGUUAUUUUAUCACAAUAUAAAUCAUAUUAUUUGGUUAUCUGUUGUGUAUCAAAUAAUGAAUAUGAUAAGCUAGUUUUAUCAAGUUUGUUAUCAUGUGCACAUCAAACACAUGACACGCUAACUCUUUAUCAUAUCCAUAUCCUAUGUUGUCUAUAUCCUGCUCCUUAUCCUAUCAUGUCUCUAUUCUAUCAUCUCCGUCAAAUGGGCCAUAUAGAGAAUUUAGUCUCUAGGAGCAACAAAUAUAUAUAUAUAUAUAUAUAUAUAUAUAUAUAUAUAUAUAUAUAUUUUUUAAAUGUAUGUUUGGUCGCAUGAGUUUGUGUUUUUUUUUUUAUGUAAUUUUUUUAAAAUAAUUGUCUCUGUAAAAUUAAUUUUAUUUUGAAAUUGUGAAUAAAAGAACUCUGUUAGUGAAUACUAAAAAUAUAAAUUUACAAAGAUAAAAAUAAAAAAAAUAAAACAUAAACUUAUAGGAAUUAAAUAUAUAUAAAUUUGUAUUUUUGUUUGUUUGUUAUUUAUCUUUUUCUCACGUCAGUUUUUUUUAAUAGUCAUUAACUGCAACGACUAUUAUAAAAAGCAAUUGAAUUUUUUGAGUUAAAUUUGCAAUAACAAAAAAACUAUAGAGAUGAAACUAAAAAAACCAUAACAAAGACUAAACAUAUAUUUAAGUUUUUCUUAAUAGUAAUUUGACAAAUAAAUGUUGAUUUAUAAAAAAUAAAAUUUAUUUAGACAUUUGAAAUCUUAUAUUUCAUCAUUUGUUUGUCCGAUUAUCAUAAAAAAUGUUCAAAUAUAUAUUUAGUCUCGGUUAGCAUUUAUUUAUUUAUUUUUGUUCCUGUAAUUUUUUUUUUGUAAAUUUAAACCAAUUAUAAAGUUAGAUAUUGAUCUAACGAUAAAAAGUUAGAUAUAAGAUCUUCUCUAGUGUUAUUGAAAGAAGAUUUGGAUUGAGGCACCAUCCUCUUAUCCUAAUUUUUUUAAGUAAAAUACUUUAUGCGCUUAACUUAAUUUUAGGUAACAAUGCAGUCAUUUAUUUUAUUUUUUUUGAUUUCGUCAUUUAUUUAAUUUUAAGUAACGAUUUGAUGAUUUAUGUCUUAAAAUAUCAACAUUAACAUUUUUUUUACAGAAAAUUCAUCAAUUUUUUUAAAUAAAAUCAUAUUUUCAUCUCCAACAUUAUCAAAUUCAUCAAAAACAAUCAAGAUUUAGUAAAUAUCUUGGUGAUUUGACGAUCAAAUCUUAAAGUAUGAAUUCUUUAUUUGAUGGAUUUGGUGUUGUUUGGUUGUUAGAGAUAUAGAUAAACAUUUAUUUGAAUAUUUGAAUUACGAAUUUUUUUGAAAUUAAUUUUGUUUAAAGAUUGGUUGAAUUUUUAGAGUUUUUAUAAAUAAAAAAGUACCAAAAAAAAAGUUAUUAUGUUGAUUUUAUUUAUAUGGUCAACCCAUAUAGCCGUCCUCUUUGGAAAAUAAAAUUGUUAGUCAUAUCUGGAGUGGAUUUGGUUUUAAUUAGGUAGGAGGGUUUUUUACAUAGAUAAAAGUAUAAAUAGAAACGUGGAGGAGUUUGUAACUUUAUAUGGUGUGUAUCUUUCUAUAAAAAAAAAAAAAAAAAAAACCAUUAUAAGAGGUGUACAAAUAGAAACGUGUAUUUAUCAUGUAAAAAAAUAAAGAAAUAUAUGUAAAAAGUUUUCCUUUAAAAGUUGAACUUUCUUCUUAUUCAAACAAAUUUAUUUUAAUCAUUAUCUUCUUAUUAAAGACAAAAUUUCGAAGCUUUGAGAAUCCGUUUUUGCAACCUACACUUCUACUUCUCGACUAAUUUGUUGUGGUUGUAUUCUAUAUAUACUCAGACUAAUUUGUUUUUUAUACGCAUUUCUCAACUCUCAUAAUAUCUUCUCACUUCCUUAAAUCUUGAUAAUUAACCAAAUCAUUAUUAAUUGUAGUCUCGUCUCGUCUAGAUAAUUUGAUUAAUAAAUUAAAAAAUAUUAAAAAAAUACAUCAAAUAUUCGAUCUCCACUAACAAAUUAAUCGCUAAGAUAUUUAUUAAAAAAUAGCACCAAUAUUAUACAGAUACCAUAAUUAGAGCAACAUAGUAGUUAUUAGAAAAAAGAUAAAGUUGUAAGAGUUAUCAAUGAAAAAGGAUCUUGUGCGGUCAUAAGAGUUAAAUGCAUAUACACAAAAGAAAGAAAGAAAAAAGUAAUAAUGUUAUAUUUCUUAAAAGGUUAUGGUAAAUAUAAAAAUAGAACUAAAUGCCGUGUUAUUUAUAAAAGCAAACCUCGUAAAUUAUAUAUAUUUUUAUUAAAAAAAUUAGUGAAGUUGACUUCUAAUUUAACUUUUAAAUCUUGCCAAACUUAAAAAUGAUCAGAUCUAACCUCCCCCUUCAAGCUCAAUCUUGUCUUCAAGGUUGAAUUCCAAAAAUUGAUUUUGAAUUGUAUUAACAUCUUCCCAAAUGGCCUCCUCUACAGGCUCUUGCUGCCAUUGAAUUAGCACUUGUUGCACUUGUUCUCUUUGUUGUUGUAUGGUUCUUCUGCCCAGUACAUGUGAAGGCGUAUAUGCAGGGUCCUGCCCAUGUAAUUUUGUAGGUAGGGUUGUUUCCACCUCACAUUUUCCCAGAUCCAACUUUAAUUGUGAAGCGUGGAAAACCGGAUGAAUGUGAGCCUCUGUUUGAAGUUGGAGUUUAAAGGUUUUAGUCCUAAUUUGUUUUAACACCAAAUAAAGACCAUAAUACUUAGUUGCUAGUGUAUGAUGAAGCUGUGUUGGCAUAGUAACCUUCCCAAAUGAUAUUUCAGUUGUCUCAAUGUUUCGUCUCUGGUCAUCAGGUCUUGUGCCACUGCUUCCACUAUAGUGUCCCCGGGUACAAAUCGUGCUAGCGAUGGUGGUGGUCUACCGUAAACUGUUUCAAAAGGAGUACACUUGGCAGCCCCUUGAAAACUAGUAUUAUACUAAUAUUCUGCCCAUGGUACCAUUUCUAUCCAAUUUUUUGGUUGUUCCGAACUAAAGCAAGCUGAGUAAGGAUGCCUGAUGAGAAUAAAAUGACCAUAUUUGUUGAGUCGAUCCACCACCACUAAUAGCACGUCAAAUCACUCGGCCUUAGGAAAACUCACAAUGAAGUCCAUACUAAUGUCUUCUCAAAUUUUAUUCGGAAUCGGUAAUGGUUGGAGCAGCCCCUCUAGCGAUGAUGCUUGAUACUUACUUACUUAGUUGGAAAAUGUGGCAUGCAGAAACAUAGUCGUUGACUGUUGUUUUCAUGCCAAUCCAAAAUAAUGAUUGAGCUAGUUGUUUUUACGUGCGAAAGACCCCAUAAUGACCUCUUAUCAGAGAGGUAUGAAACUCACGCAGUAACUUAGGUAAUCCAACUAGACUUUGGUUGCAGAACCAAUCUUCCCUUGUAAUACAACCUUCCAUUUUCCAAAGUAUAGUUGUCAUGUGACUCUGGCCUCUCCUUCAAGUCUUCACAUAUUUUAUUUAGCACAUGAUCCUACUUAACCUCUUCAUCUAUAAGGUUUAUAUCCUACCAAAGGGGUCUAGUCACCACUUUUAACUCUAACUCUUUAGAUUUUCUUGACAAGGCAUCGACAACUCUAUUGGUGCUUCCCUUUUUGUAGAUAAUAUCAAACUCAUAACCCAAUAAUUUGGCUAACCAAUUUUGUUGAUUUUGUAUGGUGAUUCUUUGUUCAAGGAGGUGUCGUAGAAACUUCUAAUCUGAGUAGACUAUAAACUUCCUCGCAAUCAGGUAUGGCCUUCAAUGGUGAAUCGAUAAGACCAAUGCCAUCAACUCUUUUUUAUAGACAUAUUUGUUAAAGGAAGAAUCUGCCAGUGCUUUGCCGAAGAAAGCAAUUGGCCUCUUGUUUUGAGUAACCACAACGCCAACCCCUCGACCCGACGCAUCGCACUCAAUGCUGAAAGUUUGAUCAAAAUCUGGCAUAGCCAACAUCAGAGCUGUUGUGACCGCCUCUUUAAGUUUCGUGAAGGUUACUGUACUAUCUGAAUUCCACUGAAAAUUCUUUUUUUUUUUUAACAAAUCAGUCAAGGGACGCGUUAUCUUCCCAUAGUUGCAUAUGAAUCUCCGAUAAUACCUAGUCAAUCCCAAAAACCCCCCACAAAGCUUUGAUUGUCUUAGGAAUAUGCCAAUCUACAACUGCUUCUACCUUUUUGGGAUCCAUAGACACUCCUUUUUCAGAAAUGAGUUGCCCCAAGUAUCCUACUGUGGUCUGCCCAUAUUUACACUUCUUUAAAUUGGCAUAGAAUUGUUGUUGCUGCAGAAUGUAUAAUAUGCACUUCAGGUGGCUCAAAUGUUCCUUCCAGGACUUACUGUAAAUGAGGAUGUCGUCAAAGAAAACUAAUACAAACUUUCGGAGAUACGGCUGGAAAGUAUCGUCUAUGGCGCAUUGAAAGGUGGUUGGGGCGUUGGUUAAACCAAACGGCAUCACUUAAAAUUCAUAGUGACCUUGGUGGGUUCGGAAGGCUGUUUUGUGGACAUCUGCUUCAUGCAUCCUUAUUUGGUGAUAUCCCGACCUCAAAUCAAUUUUUGAAAAAUACCUUGGCCCAUUUAAUUCAUCCAACAACUCUUCGAUAAUCGUAAUGGGAAACUUAUCUAGCACAAUAGCCUUGUUUAAAGCGCGAUAAUCUACACAAAAUCUCCAACUGUCGUCUUUCUUUUUAACCAAGAUGAUUGGGCUUGCGUAAGGACUGUUACUUGGUCUGAUUAUUUCCGACUUAAGCAUAUCACCAAUCUGUUUUUCGAUCUCGUUCUUCUGUAAAUGAGGGUACCGGUAAGGCCUAACAUUCACUGGAUCAACACCCGUUCUGAUGGGUAUUUUAUGAUAUGCGUCACGAUUAGGAGGCAUCCCUGUAGGUACAACACAAACACCUUGAAACUCAUCCAGAAUCUGUUGUAACUCUUUCCUUUGUGAUUUUGGAAGUUGCACUUUAACCUCAUGACAUGUAUCUUUUUGUUUCGAAACCCCAUAAUAAUGAAUCUGCUUCCAUUUCAAUCAUUUUCAUGAGGGCUUGAGGUGAAACCAACGCCUUGGAUAACGUAGGAUCACCCUUCAUUUCUACCACAGUUCCUUGUGCUAUCAAAUUCAUAGUGAGGGUUCUCCAAUUUACCUUGACCUCCCCCAAGGUUGCCAACCAAGCCACACCCAAUAUUAAGUUCUUGUAUAGUUUAUCAAGAAAUUACAUACAACAAUCUCAUUAUAUAUUUAUCUUAUUUCUUCUUUCACUAAUAACUUCGUCUUCUCAAUUCUCUUUUUCUAAAUAGACUCUUUUAUGUACACGUAAGACUUUAUACAAGAAAUAGAUAAAACAUUUUAUGCCUAUUUAGUUCAAGAACUUGAAUCCAUUUAUUUUAAAGUUAAAAACUAUGCCACUAUUUUGAAGGAAGCAAAACUCCACGAAAGUGUUUGAGGAAGUUUGUGUUAGAGAGAAACCCUUUAUUUGGUAGUAUGAGUAAAUGAAAACUUGAAAGCAUUAGCUUAUUAUCUAUCAUACAAAUUUUGUAACAUUAUAAUCAUAAUCGAUAUAGUAAGCAUCUAGCGACUCUGCUCAGCUAGAGUACCCUAAUUAAUUUGGAAGAUGAAUUAUAUGUACUGUGAAUGAACUAUACUAGAUUAUUAGCUAACUUGACAGCAACAACAAUAUCCAAACUUUUCCUUUUUUAGUUUUCUUCAAAUUUCAAAUUGAAUUGAAAUAAAAAUUAGCUAGAAGAAACUUACACUACUAGAAAAAUAGGUUUUAGCGUCGGCCCAAAGCCGACGCUAAUAGGGCAAAAGCCCACGCUAGCGCUUAUUUAACGUCGGAGUCGGGCCUAGGCUAAAGCGAUCGAAGCUAACUCUUAGCGUCGGACAAAUACCAGCCGACACUACCUUAGCGUCGCCAGGCCGACGCUAUGUUUACGCUAUGCGUAAAUUGAAAUAUUCGACGCUAAAAAUAUCAGUUGUCAAGUCAGUUGGGGCGGGAAAAACGUUGCGUCGGCUAGCCGACGCUAGGGUUAAAAUAAAAGUCAACUGAAUUUAUAAAGGAGCGUCGGAGCGGCCGACGCUAAGGUCAAAAUUAUUUAAUUAAUUAUUUUUAAUUUUAUAUCACCUGCUUUACUGAAUUUCAUUUUUGUUAAUAAUAUAAUUGAUUGCUAAUAAACAUUAAAAGUCAUUCAUUGACAUUAUAACAAACGCACAAAGUAUUAAAUAACAUAACAAAAUAUAGAGAGGUUUAACAUCAGAUUUUAGUUUAGUAUAUGAGCAAUUUAAACAAAGUAUAGGGAGGUUUUCCAAACUUGCAUUGAACAUCAGAUUUUAGUUUAGUUAGAUUGCACUUUUACAUAGUUCGGCGAAGUUUUCCAAAUUCAGCAUGUACACCAACAAACAAACUUAACAACAUAUAUAUUAAUAACAAAGUAUAAUUAAAUUAACAACAUCCAUACCUUUCAAGUGCUUAUAAUCCUUCCCCCUCCAAACUACGAUUUGUUGUUUAUCGAAAUUCACCAGGAUACAGGGGACCAAGUUCUGCAUCAAUGCAUUUGGGAUAGUUAGAAAGCAACAAUUUACAGAACCAAGCAGAAAAAUGAACCAGAAAUGCAGAAAAACGCAUAAAACCUUUAUAUGUAAGCAUGAUAUAAUUCUUACUAACGCAGAAAACCAGAUUCUUACUAACGCUGAUUACAUGAUAUAAUUUAAUAAUCAGAGGAAGAGAGACAAAAUAACACAGAUGAAAGUAUUAUAGCUCUGUCUAAUUUUUCACAUAAUACUAGUAUAUUUAAUCUAUUCAGUGAAUCUAGCCAAUUAAGUUGAUUAAAUAAAAAAUAGUGUUAUAAAUCUCAUAGUUGAAAAUAUAUAUAAUAGUGUUAAAUAGUGUUAUACACAUAUGUUCAAUUAGAUCUGAUUAUUUAGAAUACACAGCCAAAACAGGACUUAUCAAGUGGACUUAUCAAGUGGAUAAUCAGGAACUUCUGGCCACACAUUAAUCCAAUUACCAAUGAAUGAAUGAAUUAAAAACUCCAGGGCAUUGGGCAUGUGUAACUAGAAGAAUAUUAGAAAUUACCAAUGAAUGACCAAAACAGGAAACACAAUCAGGUUCAUUCAAUCUGUUGGGGAAACACAAUCAGGUUCAUUCAAUCUGUUGGGGAAACACAAUCUAUUGUGAUUCUAGAUCAGUAACAAAUAAUUAGUGACUUGCUACUGUCAUUCAUUCAUUAAUCAAACCAGAUCAUUAACCAAACCUGCUACUGCCAUUCAUUCAUUUUGCACUACAGAAACCAGUAACAAAAUUUUCAAUUCAUUCAUUUUGCACUACAAUUCUUGUCAGUAAAUCUAGCUAUCAAGUAACCAAACCUGCUACUGUCAAAACUGCCACUAAGGUUUAAAAUCUAUACCAUCACCUCUAUCAUAUGGCAGGGAGCCAAACCAAAUUAAAACCUAAACAAGAAUACACAACUAAGAGUAAAACAACGAACUUACCUUGAGAAUCGACCACAGAUGACAGUGCGACGGGACACUGAACGGCGACGGCGACACUGAACGGCGACAGUGUCGGAGUUCGAGAUGAAAGUGAAGGUGACAGGUUCGAUUGGUCACAUGUUGGGCGGCGAUACUCACUGCAUUUAGGGAUUCGGUGAUGCAUUCAAGUGUGAGAGAAGGGUUCAAGUGUGAAGGAAGGGUUAGACACUUAGGGAUUUAGGAAUGAGAUUCAGUGAUGGAUUCAAGUGUGAGGGAAGGGUUCAACACUUAGGGAUUUAGAGAAGAAAUGAAAACUUAGGGAUUCAGAGAGAAAUCGUGCUUUUAGGGAAAUUGUGCUUUCAAUUUUAUUAACGAUUAGAAAUCGUGCUUUUACGAUAUGAUUUCAUAAAUAAUAUUAAAAAUUUUAAAAAUAUCUUAGCGUCGACCCAUCCGUCGCUAACUAUUAAAAUAAAAAUUAUAAAAUUAAAUUAAUAAAUUAGCGUUUGUUUUAUUUUCGUAACGUCGGCCACUCCGACGCUAAUCGAUAAUAAAAUUGAAAAUUGAUUUGGUGUAGUUGCGUCGGCUUGGCCGACGCUAAGUCGACGUUGCGUAGCGUCGGAAUCAGAGGCCGACACUACAAAUGGCAGCUAAAAAUCAAUUUUCUAGUAGUGUUAUGCUCUCAUGAUUUUGUCGUAUAAGGUUUCAACAUAUACAUAUAAGUGACAAUAACCUUAUCAUUGUGCCAAGGUUUGCUCUGGGUGCAACAGAUGUGGACCAAUGGAAAACAUUUUAAGGAAGUUUAGAAGUCAAAACACAAUAGUACCUCAUCUGAUCUUAAAUAUUAAUAAAAUUCAUAAUAUAUUUCAUCUAAAUUUGAACUAAAUGCAUUUAAAUUUUUGUUUAUAUUUAAAUUAAAAAAAACCAUAUACAUAGAAAAUAUAAAGUUGGAUUGGUGUUAAUCCUCGUAUCUCGUAUGACGAAAUUAUAAAAUGUAAAAGCACUAAAUUGUAGUUUAUCAAAUUCCACAACAAAAGCACACUGUAACAUGAGCAUUUGGAUGUAGUGUAAUUUGAAUGUAAAACCAAAAAUACCUUAAACAAACUAGAGAUAGGAGUUUUUUCUACUCUUUUUGUUUAAAGACUUGAAUCCUUUUGAGGUUAAAACAAUACUAUCUUCUAAUUGUUUCAAACUUGGGUGAAUAUUUGUAGGAUGAAUAAAUAAAAAAUACACCAUAAUAAUCCAUCUUACAAAUUUUGUAUCAUCAUAUAUAUUAUUAAAAUUCGUCUCACUCGUAUUGAAAGAUUAAGUUCAAACAUUAAAUUAAUCAGAUGUAUUUAGAAAUAGCUUACCAAGAUAAAAAUUUGGCAAUUUCUUAAAAUUUGCAAGAAACAAAGGAAUAUGAUCAAACACAAUUUACAUUAGAACCUCAAAAUUAAACAUACAACAUUAGAAAAAAAAAAAGCGCACACAAAAUUGAACAUCUAUUAGUCUUCAAACCUAAAACUUUGCCUUAUAAAUAGUAUACUAAAAUUCCAUUAUACAUAAUGAUCCGAUUAAAUACAUGUUUAGUAAAAAUCACGACCAAGCGCUGCGAUUUUAAAAAAAACUAUACAUUUUAACUUGAAUAAAAUUAUCGCAACUAACAGUAAUUCUGAGAAAUUUACCGUGCUUUUGGGUUCAUGAUUUCAGAGAAAACACUUUCCUUACUAGUAUUAAAAUAACUAUAGCUUUGCUCUCUACUAGCACUAGUUGUAGUACUCUCACUCACUUGACUACUCUUAUUUAAAUCUGAAAUCAGUCCCACACUGGUCCCAUAACUGGACAUGUCAUCAUUUUCCUCUUUUUCUCCUGCCACGUCAUCAUUUUCCUCUUUUCCUCCUGCCACGUCAUCAAUUCCAACAUCAACAACACCACGCUCACGUUGUUCCGCACUCUCUUGUAACUGUAACGCAAACUCCAACAUCCAAACGACGUCGUUCAUUGACGGCCUAUGCGUUCCAUCGUCCAACAAACAACUAACCGCAAUCUCACCGAAUUUUCUCAAACACUCAGGUGCUAUGCUUCCCUUUAUUGCAGGGUCCACUAUACUCCCGAGGGUCCCAUUUUUAUAACAAUGGCUCGCCCAAUCAGCAAGUGACACCUGUUUCUUUUCAGCAGUUCUAAUCAGAGGCGGUCGAGCACAGAGUAUCUCAAAUAAAACCACUCCAAAAGAGUACACGUCAGAUUUCUCAGUUAAACGCUGUCGUUUAUAAUACUCAGGAUCUAAAUAACCAAUGCUCCCUUUAACAACAGUGCUAACAUGGGCCUUAGACAUACCAAUAGGCCCAACUCUCGAAAGCCCAAAAUCAGAAACCUUCGCAACCCAUUUCUCAUCUAACAGAAUAUUCGUCGUUUUCACGUCGCGGUGGAUAAUAGUGUGUUUUGCUCCUGUAUGAAGGUAGUGUAACCCACGCGCCGCACCUAUUGAAAUCUGCAACCGUUGUUUCCAUGAAAGUGAAGGAUUUUCUGUUUUGUAGAGAUGGUCGCGUAACGUUCCACGCGCCAUGAAAUCGUAGACGAUUAUCAUCUCAUUAUUCUCGUUGCAGUAACCGAUUAAAGAAACGAGAUGAAGAUGACGAAGCUUCGAUAACAUGUCAAUCUCGUUGAUGAACUCGUUUUCGCCUUGUUGUGAACCCGGUUUGAGCCGUUUGAUAGCAACCGCUGUUAAACCGUUGUCGAUGUAGCCUUUGUACACGUGGCCGAAUCCUCCAACGCCGACGAUGAAGAGUUCGUCGAAGUUGUUCGUGGCGGCGCGAAUCUCGAGGAGAGAAAAGUAACGGCAUAGAUCCGACGGUAGAGAUGAGUUUUGAGUGUUGGACGAUUUCGUCGUUGCAAACGACAGUGGGCCCCACUUUGAAGUUCGAGAAGACCUUUUUGAAUCCUUCGCUGUGGUUGUUAUAGUAGUCGUUUCUCUUUUUCUUUUCAAAACGAAGAAAACGACGACAAGGGAAAAUAAAACGACGCCGAAUAUAACUCCCAAAACGACACCAAUAAUCGUCGUUCCACUUAUGCUUUUGUUGCUCUUUUUCGGUUUCGGAUCUUGAAUCGGGUGUUGGACCGGGUCCGGGUUAGGUCCAGCUAGGCUCUUUAAAGUGACGUUGCUGAUCUUGAAAAUUUCAAGUCCAUUUAAAAACGGGUCACUGAAUAUGGUUAUGUGAGCGUUAUCAACGGGAUGCAUUUGAAUGGAGAGGUGUUCUGUUUUGUUACCGUUAUUCGGAAUGAAAACGACGUAGUUUUUUUGCACUGCAAGCCCUUUUUGAUUUGAGGUCCAACUCAUGACAUCAGCAUUUUGUUCUGCCAUGAGUCCUUGUAAAUAGAUGUUGAAGACUCUAUCGCCUACGUUAGUUAUUUUGGGGUCGAGUUCACAGAAGUGGAGCCUGAUCAUGUAAUAGAAGCUAGAAUCAACAGGGAAUUCCCAAGUUAGGUUUAAGAGUUUGUUGAGAGUUCCGUUGAGGCCCAUCUCACGUGCUGUUCUGUAGAUGUCUUUAGGUGCCACGUAAUCAGGAUUUACUGUGAUGUUCCUCGUACCUGAUACGUCUGCUGGGAGAGAAUCGCGUGAUGUUGGUGUUCUUAAAUAGUCUUCGUCGUUGCCGUUCCAUUUUCUGAACAAGCCUGUGUCUUGCUUGGCUGAGAUUGCUUGCCCUCCAACUCUGAUCCUGUAAUCUGUAAUUAUAUAUGCAUAAUUUAAGAACAUACUUUUAAGACAUAAUUAUUUGUAUAUUAGAAAAAAAUAGUGAACAUGUAUUUCUUAACGAUUGGUUUUAUUUAUUUAAUUUUUUUCUUUUUCAAAUGAGUUUGGGUUAAUCGAGUUACUUAAAUAUUUUUAUUUUAUGAUGGUCUAAUUAGCUAGAUUUUUUUUCUAAAUACAAUACAAUAAAAAUCACGAAAUGCAAGUGAAACACAUUUAUUCAAGAAUUAUUUAUAGUAGUAUAAUAAAGUAUGAUUCGAAGGAUAUGUAUACUAAUUUUAUUACACUAGCCUCUACUGUGUAAAAUUUACUUAUUAUGAUAUUUAUUUUUCAGGAAAAAGAUCAAGUAUCGCAUAACCUAAUGAUCAAAUUUAAAAUGUGUCAAGAGCUGAUAUAAAAAACUAUCACCAAAUCACUUAUCAAUUAUAAAAUCUAUUCAUCAAAUUACCUAUCAUUUAUAUUCCCGUGUCCAUCUCAAUCUCAAUAAUGUCCAAGGUAUAUUGAAAAACACAAAUACAAGAAUACAGAUAACAACACAAUAAAUUUAUAAAAAGUGUCAUAUUUAACCUCAUUUUGGAAGUAUUAAUAGUAACUAAUAUAUAAAUCUAAUAUAAUACUAAAAAUUAUUAAUUAUAUCACUCAUCAUUUGUAAGAUGUAUUUUAAAAAACAAAAUUUUUAACUAAAAAAAAUUUAAAUGAAUUAAAUUUCAGUGACUCAUCAAGAUUAUGAGAGACCUCCCAUCUCAAAGAAAUACUUAUAUAUCAGCACAAAAAGAUGAUCACAUCAAUACUGAGAGUUAAACCAACAAUCUUAUGAAUGUGAUUCAAUAACCAACUUAUAUUGACUUAUAAAAAACUUGAGAAAAUAAAAUUUAAAAUAAAUUUAUAAAAAGUGAUAUCUCUUCUAGCAUCAACAAUGGAGCUCUCCAAAUUAAAUGUUUUAAUUACAGUUCUAGUUCACUAUUUUUACCAAUUUAUGAAAUUGAUUUUCUAUUUUAAAAAUUGGGUGUUUUGGUCUUUUAUUAUGAUUUGUUAAUUCAAAAAUAACAAUGUGACAUGCAUUAAAUAACAUAAUAUAUGAUACGAUAAUAUAGAAUGAUUAUCACUCAUGAAAUUCAAUAAAACUCUAUACUAAUUCAACUUCAGAAUUUUUUUUAAUUUUUAUAAUUUAAUUAAUGACAUAAAUAAUUAAUGCAUCUAGAUAAUUAUAUAUCAUAAAAUCAUAUAACGUCACUUAAAAUAUAUCAAAUUGUCAUUUUUUUAAUUCAAAAAUACGAAGAAUUGACCAAAACGAUUUACUUUUAAAAUUAAAAGAUCAAUUCUGUAAAUUAAUAAAAAAAAAUUAAAAAAAAACCAAUAUUAUAAUUAAAUAUUUUUAAUUAUAAUGUUUAAUAAACAUUAUUCUCUCCAAUUUAACAUUUCAAAAUUUUUUACUAAACAAAUAUCACCAAUUAUUUUAUAUCAUUAUACUUCAACAAUACGACAUGGAUGACCUUAUCUUACUAGGUGGUCAAGUAAAAAUGAGAAUGAGUUUGCCUUUAAAUAAAACUAAUAUUUCUAUAAUUUAUACACUCAUUUGAUAUAUGAUCUACGAGUAAAUAUUGGUAAGUUAAUUUGUUAAAUACCUUUUGUACCAAAAAAAAAAAAAAAACAAAAACAAAAUACUUGCUGAUUACCUGUCUCUAGAGCAAAAGUGGUUUGAAGAUCGUAUUGGGAAAUGGUGGGCCCCACCACAAGUGAAAUUCCAUUAUCAUUAGAUGAUGUAUAAUAAAGAUCACUAGGCAUAGAUAAGACUUCAAUUCCAUUGAUGAAAGCAUAAUUGUUAGAGUUUCCUCCACUUGGAAUAAAACUCAAAUCAAGCCUUUGAUCAUCAUCAUCACCAACAUUAAUAACAUAUUCUUUGAAUAAAGUACCAACACCUUCAACAUCAGCGUUAAGUGAAGCAUUAAAAUCCUUAAGAAGUGUGAAUCCGUUAGAUUCAACGGUGAAAAAAGCAUCAUAACGGUUGAAAUUACCGUUAUAAUUUGAAGGGUAGAAAAAAAGACGGAGAAAUUUUGGACCUUUACCAACGGAGAAAGAGUGAUUGAAUUGUUCACGUGACAACCUUGCUGUUGAAUAAGGGUUUUUGUUUACUGAAGUUGGUGUUUGUUGUGUUGUUGUCCCUAAAAUUGAAACAGAAAGUGUUUUCAAAAGUUUUGAGUUUGUGUCACCUGUCCAUGUUCUUUCUCCGUCGGUAGAGUUUCCUGUUGUACCACAAUUGAGGGUAAAACGGUCAAUUGGGUCGUAGGCUUGGAGGUGGAGAAGGGUGAGGGAAAAGUAGAGAAGGGUUGUAAUUGUAAUUGUAAUUGUUUUGAAGAUGAUCAAUGAUUUCAUGUUUUUGUUUUUUUGUUGAGAGAGUUUGUGGUGGAAUGAGAGAAGUGGAAUUGUGAAGAGUGAAGAAGGGUUUGUUUGUGAUGAUGAUAAGAAUUUUUGGGUUGAGUUGAUUGGUAGUGCUGAGGUAGAGAAGAGGAAAGUUCUUGGUCUUUACUAAAAACUUAAGAUUAUUGCAAUUAGCAAAUUAUUUAUAUUAUCUCAUUAUAUUUAAUUUAAUAUAUAUUUUGUGUAUGAAUGUUUUUAUUUCAACUAAAAUAUAUAAGAUUUUAAUUUACUAAUUUUUAAAUUUGGAUUUUAUUGUCUUAGUUUCACAAAUUUUAAUAGUCUCUACUUCACAAUUCAGUUUUAAAAUUACAUAUUAUUUUAAUUGAAAUAAAAUACAUAAUUUUAAUUGAUAUUUUAAGAUUAAAUUUGAUAAUAAGACAUUGUUUAUUUGAACUACAAAGAUAGACCUUGUUGCAACUUAUUUUUUUCUUUUGAGUUUAUUGAUUAUAUGUAUAUCUAUGUUUUAUCUCAAAUAAUUGUUUCUAAUCUUAAUUCACAAUAUAGCAUUUGUAAUCAGUAUGACAUGUUAUAAAAAAUAAAUUUAAAUUAAAUUAUAAAAAAAAUCUUAAAAUUUGUAAAAUAAAAAGGUUAAAAUUCAAAACCAAUACAAAUCAGUUUAUAUACAAAGUUGUUUUACUCAAUUUCUAUACUUCAUAUCAAUAAGAAAAAUAUAGUUAGUAAUUCAACAUAAAAUCUAUAUUAAAAAUAUUUUCCCCCUAAAAUGAGUGGUAGUAUUUCUUUGACUUGUUCAGCUUUAAAAAGGAAAACCAUAGCAUGCUAUGCUAUUGACUAUUGACUUAGACACAAGAAACAAAAAGGUCAGUGUAUUUGUUUUGUAAUUAAUAAAGACGUCACUAAUCCAUACUGUAGUGUCAUGAAUGAAUUGAAAAGAGAUAUUCCACGAAAAUGUUUGAAUGAUUAUAUUUUGUAGAACUGCUGAGAAUAUUUUAUUUUUUAACACUUACUUUAAACUCACUUUUUUAUUAAAGAAAAUUAAUGAGUUAUCAUAUUUUGUAAAUGAGUAUCUCGUUAAAUAUUGAUAUUUGUAUGAAUUUCAUUCAAUCUAAGAGUGAAUAUUAAAAUAAAUGUUAAAAAGAAAAUAUUUUUAAUACACCUUUUAUAUUUUUAUGCUUUGGUGUAUUUUUUUUAAAGACUAAAAAAUAUUUUUAUUUUUUUUAAAGAUUAAAUUGGUCAUUAAGAAAUAUUGAAACACUCAAUUUAAUCUUUAAAAAAAAUAAAAAAACUUGUAGUCUUUAAGAAAAAUAAAUCGAAUCAAAUUAGUCCUUAUGUGAAUCACAAUUAAAAAAUUGAGUUUUUUUUGUUAACUUGUCAGAUAAUUUCCAACUUGAUUAUUCCACGUGUAAUUUAUAUAAAGAGGAACAAUUAGGUCGUUGACAAUAGUUAAAAAUAGACAAUUAAGUUCUCGACAGGGACUCUAAACUUGUUCAAUUAAUCACCGUUAAAUACUUGAUUGUCUAUUUUCAAUUAUUGUCAAUAAAUUAAUUGUUUAUUUUUAUAGAAUUUACAUGUGAGACAAUCAAGUUGAUAAGUAAUCAGAUAAAUUAAAAAAAAAAACUAAUUUUCUAAAUAUAGUUCAUAUAAGGAUUAAUAUGGCCUGAUUUAUUUUUCAUAUGAAUUAAAAAGUGUUUUUAUUUUUUUCAAUAACUAAAUUAGAUUUCUCAAAAACUUUUAGGGACCAAAGUAGACCUUUAUUAUUAUUUUUUAAAAUACUAAAUUACAUUAUAUUAAAAACAAACACCACACAUAAAGAAUAAGAGAAAAGUGUACAUUGCCUCCAUUACUAAUUUUUAUUAUAUAUAAAUAUAUAAUAUGAGAAGUGCCAGUAACACUUCACUGUAACACUUACUUUUUGAUUGAGUAAAAAUAGUGAGAUUGAGACCUAUAUAAAUUUCAUUCAAUAAAAAAGUGUCAGAGUGAAUGUUAAAAAGCAAUAUUGCGAUACAAUAUACACUUUGAUCUUGGUGAGGUAAGUGAGACUUAGUCUUUGAAGUAUAUAUAUAUUGCAUCUAUUCCCUACUAUAAUCAACUGAAUCUAAUUAAUCAUUUAAGUUUAAUAAUUUAAUUAGAAGUCGAAUAGUUCAAAUAUUUUGUUUUAAUUUGAUUUGAAGUGAACUAAUUUUAAUUAGUAGUUUGUGUCUCACAAAUAGUUUUUAGAAUUAAACUCCAAUUGCCAAUAAUUAGAUUUUUUGGUUUAGAAAUUACAAUAUAUAAAAUUUAUAAAUAAUAUUAAAUUAAUUUAUAUACACUAAUACAAUAAAAGAAAUUUAUACAUAACUAUUAUUAAUUUAAUUUAUAUAUUCAACUAAUAUACACAUAUUUUGCGCAUACAUGUAAUAAUUAUAUAUAAGUAUAAACUUUUUUAUGGUGAAAAUGUAUAUAAAUUAAACUCAUAAGUAAUUAUGCAUUGCUUCAUACUUUUGUUUUGUAAUAUUUAUCUUCUUAUUAUGCAUUGCUUCGUAUAAAAAAUGAAAAAAAUAAUUAUUUUUAUGAAUUAUUCAUGCACAAUAUAUCUAUUUUAAUUUUUGUGAUUGAAUUUUUAAUAUUAGAUGCAAUAACGAAAAUUUAAUAGGGUAAUUGCUCACCCUAUCCAUCAUUUUUGUUCACAAUAUCUAAAAUACACUACCUUGAUAAAAUAGCAAAAUUUUAGAGGAGGGAGGGGUGUUUGAGUAACCAUCAAUAAUGGAGAUCAAAAUCAAUUGGGCCCAUCCCAUAAAAAUUUGUUAGGCCCAAAUGCACGGACUAGAGCUGACCACAGUGGGCUUGUAGAUUUGAAAAUGGCAAUCAAAACAUGAAAAUUAGAUUUUGUACUACCUAAUUAAAUUUGAUUUAUUCCUAUAUAAAAUAAAAUCUAAUGUUAUUUAUUUCAUUUUCAUUCAUUUAAUUGUAAAAAUACUGCUCUAAAAUAUACUCUAUUAUAAAAAAUUUAGAUAUUUAGAUAUUUAAAUUUUAAUUAACACUAUCAGAAAUUUUAUUUUCAAAAAAAUUCAGUAUGCAAUAUUUUUUUUUAAAUUGUCAAAAGAUUCUAGAUUUUUUAAAACUCAAAAUUUUCGAUAGUGUUAAUUUGUGUACCAUGAAAUUUUUGGUAGUUAUUUACUCCCUAAAAAAUUAAGUUUUGAUAAUUUGGAUAGUUAAUUUUAUUUUACCGAAAAUUUCAAAGUUAUGAAGUAUCCGUUAUGAAAAUUUUUAAAUUUUAAUUUUAUUUUUGAAGCCGGGAUGGAAAAACACAAUUAUGUAUAGAUUUGAUUGAAAUAUUUAUAACUGAUCAAAUUUUUUAGUCACGAGAAAUUGUCCUAUCAUGGACAAGAGAGGUUGACCGACAUAAUCGAAUAGUUGUUAUCAUUACCUGUUCUGACAUAGAUACCGAAAAGAGAGAAAUAAAGUCAAAAUUAGUUCUCAGUUGCGAUAGAGGUGAAAAAUAUAAGUUAAAUAAGAAUAGCUCAUUGACUUCAACUAAAAAGUGCGAUUGUCUAUUUAAACUUAGAUAGAUACCAUCGAAAAAUGGUGAGAGAUAAAUUAUUAGUUUAAUGUGUGAACUUCACAACCAUGAGUUAGUGACUACUUUUGAAAAUAAUGCAUUUAUGGGACGCUUAAAAGAAGAAGUAUCACGUUGCACUGAAACACAUAUUGUCAUCUUUGAGAGAUCGAGAUAAAGAGAACAUGUCUAAUAUCUCUCAAAUUUAUAAGUGACGAACCACAUACCGAGAGAAUUUGGAAGGACUCAAAACUAAUAUGCAACAUCUAUUGAAGUUACUUGAAGCUGAGAAGUAUGCUUGUUGGAGUAGAACCCAUGAAGAUUCCAACAUUGUGAGAGACAUGUUUUGGAGGCACCCAUACUCCAUAACUUUGUUGAACAUGUUCCCUCUUAUUUUGAUCAUGAAUAACACCUACAAUACGAACAAGUAUACAUUACUAUUGUUUGAAAUUGUUGGUGUAACUUCAACUAGAUUGACGUUCAACGUUGUCUUUGCUUACAUGGACUGUGACCGUCAAGAAAACUUUAGUUGGACAUUAGAGAAGUAAAAAUAAUUUUUUUCUUUAAAUACCUCAUUUUCUCAGGUUAUUUUGACUGAUAGAGAACUUGCUUUGUUGAAUGCAACUGAAGUUGUAUUUUCAUCUUUAACAAAUUUACUUUUUCAUCUUUGUAUCAACAAAAAUGUUGGAGACAGAUGCAAACAAUAUAUAUUGAAGAAGGACAUGCAUAAAUCUAUUCUAGUUUUUUGAAGGAAAAUUAUGUAUUGUUAUGAAGAGAAGGAGUACUAGAAACUUUUAUAAAGGUUUAAGCAAACAUGUAUCGAUAACAUUAUUUUCUUUGAUUACGUUAGAGAUACAUGGUUGAUUCGUCAUGAGGAAAGAUGUGUUAGCAUGGACCAAUCAAAUGUUGCAUCAAGGAAAUACUACAACAAAUAGGUAUGUCAUUAAAACUUUGCAUUUGGUUUUAUAUUUAUACAUGUUUAGGAUUAAGCAUGCAUGUUUGAUAUAUUUUUUAUUGAAAUAUUAUUUUGUUUUUUGUUUUUUAUUUUUAUGUUUGAAUAUUAGAGUUGAGUCUGCUAAUUGGUCAUUAAAGAGAUUUUUGGAACAUAGUAAAAGAGAUUUUUGUAAGGUACAAGAUGAUAUGAAUGAGAUGUUGAAGUUGCAAUUAAGAUAAAAUGGUCAUUUGAGACAAGUAAGAGUCAUAAAGAACAUAUACACAACAAACCAUUCUAUGAGAAUUUGACUUGAGUGUAUCAAGGAAAACCUUAGCUCAUAUUAUUGAUGAAUACAAGAGAGUCAACUAUAUUAGUAACAACAAAGCCGCAAAUGGUUGUAUACUUGGAAACUCUCAUAGAUUACUUUGUGCAUGUGAGUUGAUACAAUACAAGAUGAAAGAUGUUUAAAUCCCGUUGAAUGCAGUUCAUUUACAUUGAAGGAAAUUAACCAUGAAUAGUGGUUUAGAGGAAGAAAAUAAAAGUUAGAACUCAGAUCAAUACCAAUAUUAUGACUAGUAUCAUUACCAAGACCAUCAUUAGCAGCAUGAUACCAACAAUAACAUUAUGACUAGGAUCAAUACCAACAUCAACAAUACAGCUAAGAACGUCAAAAUUGGGAAGAGGGCACCACCACAUCAAAACAGGGAGGUGUUGCAGCAACAUAAGAGAUCAGGAUGAGAUAUCCUAUAGAACCACUAUAAAUAUCCCUCAACACACUCAUGUGGAUAUGUUUAUAGAUGCAAUUUAGUACAUAGGGAUCAAAUAGCGUUCUUCUACAUACUCCAUUCAACAUCAUGAACAACAGCACUAACAAUGUAGGAGGAAUGUACUGGGUAUACCCAAACUGUUGUAGAUACAUCUCUGGAAAAUAAAUACGAUACCAUCAUGGAGCACCAAUGAAUGUACCUGUAAACAUCGACAUAGAUUAAAUACCUGUCAUGGCAUCCUCAUGGUAACUUGGCGUCCAUAUCACAUCAGUAGGUCUCAAAGCAUCCAACUUUACUUUGUUAACGAGAGGUGUGAAUAAAUUUUGAUAACAUGGUAUGCCCAACAUACCCCUAACAUUGUCAAGAGUAAUAGUCAUUUCACCAAAUGACAGGUGAAAUAAAUUAGUCUCUGAGUGUCAUCUCUUAGCAAAAGUAGAUAUAAGAUUACCAUCUAUCAUAUACAAACUACAUAUUUGUAGAGGACGUAACCCUGAUUUAGUAAUCCAUUGAUCUAUCUCAGUAGAUAAUGAAAAAUUAUCCGACGUAUGUACAAAUUUUGAAACAUAUAGAGAUAAAUAGUGAAUUUCAAUUUACUAGAAAUUCCAAUUGAAUUCAUUAUCCGAUAUCUCAUUUUGUUUUUUCACAUUAGUUUGUUAACUCUUAGAAGUUUUGAUCAAUACUCUUAUUUUUUAUCAAAAAUGGUCCAUUAUAUUGUAAAGGCUACAUCAAUCUGAUCUCAUUUUUCGCUUCAAGAUUAUCAUUUAUUUUUCAAAAGUUAUACCAAUCUAAAACAUAAAAAAAUAGAUCAAAUAAAACCUAAAUUAAAUAAACGACAAAAACACAUUCUUUUUUAGAUUUUUGUAUUUAUCAAAAUAAAAUGAAAUAAGUAUGAAAUGAUAUGAUAAGGAUAUAAAUUUAUUAUGAAUGCCAAUUAUGUUUAUGUUUUUUCUUGAAAAUGUUGAAAAAAAUCAAUUAAAAUUGGAUACGAAGAACUAUAUUAAAAUGCAAUGAAUAGUAGAAUUUUUGUAAGAUUAGGGUGUACUUUUUGAAACAAAGUUCUUAGUAAGUAUUUUUAUUAGUGUAAAAAGUAAUACCCCAAAAAGAAGGACAAUGCAUACACUAUGUUAGGUGUGGUAGAAUGAAUACAAUUCCACAUCACAUGUAUUAUUAUUAGUUUAUUACCGACCCCAACCUAAACUGAACCAAACCCAAUAUUUAAUGUCACACAUGUUUAAUGGACUUAUUCAAAAGGCAUGUCAAUGUAGUGUCAGAUAAGUAUAAGCAAAUGAGGUAAUAAUUUGUUUAUUAAUUAUUUUCCCUUCAAGAUGACGCAGCAUAAAGUAUUUAUUCAAUUAUACAGCACCAUUUGAAGGUAAGGGCACGUUCAUAUCUUAACUUGAUAAUAGACACAUAAUUAAUUAUGAAAUGAUGCAUGUGGGUGGUGGGCAAAUCAUGUAUUAUAUAUUAAUUGGGGUAGAUAUUAUUAAUCAGACACAUGAUAAAAUAAGACAUUAUCAUAUUUUUAUCGUAUGAUAUCUUUAUCUAAUUCUAUUAUGAUAUUUGUUUUUAUUAUAUCUUAAUCAUUAAACAAUAAUGAAAAUUUUAACAUUUAAUAUUUUAAAAUUUUAUUUUAAAUGAUAAAAGAAAGUUUGUGGAUAAUAAAAAGAGAUUAACUUUGCUAUUAUAAUGUUAUGGUAAUUUUUUUUACACUGUCCAACAAAUUACGAGUGACUUUAAAAAAUAAUAUGAUCAUUACCCUAUUUUGACAAAUUACCAUAGAUUGCGGAAUUACGCGGUAAAUUAUAUGGACUAACAAUCCAUUCAACCGACCAAAACUUCUUACAACGAGUUUCAUCUCUAUGAAGAGUUUGUUUUUAAAAAAUGACUUUGAAGAGCAAAACGGAAUCUAUUUGUUUUGCUAAAUAAAAAAGGAAUAUAUUUGGAAGAAGAAAAAGUCAUAAAAAACCUGCUUAAUUAGUUUUGACUCUCUUGACCGUUUUAUUUCCUCCUAACUUAAAAAAAUAGUGUUAUCUUUUUAAUUAAUUUUAUGCUUUAAAAAAUCUUCAAAUCUUUAAAUGAGGUGAUUAUUAAGAAAUUUGGGAGAUUAAAUUUGAUUUUUAAAUUAUCAAGAUAAUUAAAAUCAUGAAUGCAAAUGAAAAAUUGAUUUUUAUAGUAUUUUAUCCUUUUGUUAUACUUUUUAAAAAAUUGAAUUUUAAAAAUAAAAAUUUCAAAUGAAAAUUUAGUUCAAAUAUAGUUUAUCCUAAAAUUUUUUAUAUAUAUUAAAUUUUACAAAAUAAUUAAAAUAAGAAAUUAUUUUGAUUUUUUUUUUCAUACAAAUCAUUUUUUAAAAUAAUACUUUUAAAAAAAAUGAUUUUUGUCAUUUUAAAAUAUCUAAUAAUAAAAUUUGAAGUAAUAGAAUGUCAAAACCCUAAAAAUGGAUGCAGAGUUGGGUUGUCUUACAAAUUGGGGACUCUACAAAUCGUGAAUUCUUUUUUUAAGAAGAAUUAUAUUUCAAAACACAAACAACACAGUAGAUUGUGAAUAAAAAAUUAUUUCACUAUAUGUGUUCCUAUAUAAAGGAAAUAUAUAAUAAUAAUAAUAAUAAUAAUAAUAAUAAUAAUAAUAAUAAUAAUAAUAAUAAUAAUAAUAAUAUUACAUAAAUGUAUUGGUUAGAAUAUUAAUCCUCAAAUAAAUUUACUAAUUUUCUUUGAAGAAAUAGCCAAACCAGUGGUGGACCCUCCCUAACCAUUAAUUUCAUGACAGAAUGUCUAGAUCAAUAAAAGUGUCUGUUUCCAAAAUUUCUUUUUCACCGGUUCAAACUUAUAAAAGUCUCUACUAACUUUUGUCUAAGGUGAAGGGGUAUAUUUUUUUCUUUAACGGGUGAGAUUAGAUUUAACAUUACUCUAUUGUAUUUUUAGGGUUGAAUUUAAACUUAAGAAUUUUGAUUAGUUAAAUUAGAAUAGAUUUUUGUCAUAUCAUCUGAGAGUUGUUGGGUAAGGUAAUUGUUUUAAAAGGUCAUGCUAAAAAAAAAAAAAGAAAUAAUGUCUUAAGGGCACAUGUUAAAAGAUUUUAUAAAUAAUAUUUAUAUUUUAAACAAGUGAAAUACAUAAUUUUUGAGAAAGAAAAAUAUACAAUUUAUAAGAUAAAAUUUGUAUUUUUAAUAUACAAACAUGUGCAUUUGACCAUUCUCUUUUUAAAAAUAUUCUAAAGCACAAUUUUAAAAAUAAUCAUUAUAAAAUCAUAAUUCAAAUGAUGUUAGUGUUUAUUAUUAUUAUUAUCGGUAUGAACGGUAUAAUAUUCAUCCGACUAUAUUGAUGAUUAAUAAAUUUUAGUAGAAGAAUUUGAUUGAUCAUACUAUAUUAAAUAAAGUAGCACUUCUCAAUCACAUUUAUAUCAUUGAGACUUAAAUUCAAAUCUUGAAUGAGAAUGUAAAUUGAGUUCUACUCAUAAUAAUAUAAUAUUAGAUUCGAUAAUCAAAUCUUAGUUGUUUUUUUAACAAGAAUAAAAUCAAAUCCUUUUUUUUAGGGGAAUCAAAUCAAAAUCUUAGUUAAUCCUUCCACGACUUAUAUAUUGAUAUAUCUUUCCUUUUUUUUUGUUGUUGUCGAGUUUUUUCUCCUUAUUUAUAUGGUCUCACAACUAGAGUCAUUUUCAAAACUAAUUUUCUUACACAAUUUUCAUCAAUGAAAACCACAAUGACAAGAAUAAGUCUAUUGUGGUUCAUACUUUUGAUGAUGAUAUUUUGUAUCUUUGUAACUCAUGCUUAUAAGGGUAAUUUACCCCUAAGGAAAGUUUAUGGUGCAUUGAAGGCCUUUUUCACCAAACAUGAUUCCAUUCCUUCACCAACUUAUUCCCUUUCACCUUCUCCUUCUCCUAUGCAACCACAGGUAAUUUAUAAAUUAUGUUAAUACCUUUUGAUACCCUUUUCAAGUAUGUCAUUAGCAUGGUUUUAAAUAGUCAUCAUUGAUAUUAUGGACAAUUGCGGUCAAAUGUGGUCAAUGCACCUAAAUUGCGAUCACGUUGCAGUUUUGAGAUUUGAUAACAUAAAAAACCGUUACGUGGCGGUUUAGAUUGCAAUCUCAGACCUUUAUUUGAAACUCUGAUCAUCGGUUAAACUUAUAUAUUUAGUGCAUGUUUGAAUUCACAGUAAAAUUAACAGAAUCACAGUGAUCUGUCGUAAUUUUGAAAAAACUACACUUUAAAUACACUUAGCCUCAAUUUAGUCACUUUAUUUCCAACGCAAGAUUGUGUUAACGAACAAUGUUAAAUAGUUUUCUGAAUUUUAUGCUAAUGCAGGAUACUAAAAAGAAACCACAUGUGUACCUUGUGACAUCUUAUGGUGCUGAUCCAACAGGAAAAUCAGAUAGUACUGAAGCUAUUCUUGCAGCCAUAGCAGAUGCUGCAAAAGGUCCAAGUAAAGGGUUCUUGAUGAAAGACAUUAUUAACCUUGGUGGUGCUGAGAUUAAUCUUCAAGGUGGAAACUACUUGAUUAGUAAACCUUUGCAUUUUCCAGUGGCUGGAGUUGGAAACAUCAUGGUAUGUUUGCAUAAUCCAUUUUGUUUUUAUUGAUCAAAUAAUUUGAUUUUUUUUUAACAAUUCUUAGAAUAAGAAGUUGCAGCAAAUCAAAGCAAGAUACUACAUUGAUUUAUUAAUUUAUUUUAUCUUGAGUGAAUAUUAGUCAUCUAAAAGACAUUAAAUUUGAGGAAAAAGAUGGUUAUAUCCUUUUUUUUUUUUUAUUCUCCAAAUACUCUACUUUGAAACAAUAUUUCUGGAAUGCCCUACUUUUUCGUUCCUUCAGGAAGUCGUUCCCUGGGGAAGCGACCUCUUGAAGAGGAAAUUUUUUAAUGCUAAUGGGGGGUCGUUUCCUGGGGAAGCGCCCUCCCACUGGGUUUUUUUUUUUUUUUUUCUCCAAAUACUCUACUUUGAAACAAUAUUUCUGGAAUGCCCUACUUUUUCGUUCCUUCAGGAAGUCGUUCCCUGGGGAAGCGACCUCUUGAAGAGGAAAUUUUUUAAUGCUAAUGGGGGGUCGUUUCCUGGGGAAGCGCCCUCCCACUGGGUUUUUUUUUUUUUUUUUAUUAUAACUAUUAAACUAACUUUAAAAUAUAACAAAAAAAAAAAAAAAAAGGAUAUAACCAUCUUAAACCCAUUAAAUUUGACAUCUAAGUUUAAUUUUAUUUUGUAAAUAUAAUGUUGAACAGAUACAUGGUGGAACUAUAAGAGCCACAAAGAAUUUUCCACAAAAUGGACAUUUAAUUGAUUUAUCAAACUAUGGUUCAACCUCACACUCCUACAAUUAUGAAUACAUAACUCUCAAGGAUCUGUUUCUAGACUCAAAUUUCAAAGGUGGAGGAAUUUCAAUAAAAAACUCACUAAGAAUCAACAUAAACAAUUGUUACAUAACACAUUUCAUCACAAGUGGAAUUUUAGUCCACAGUGGUCAUGAAACAUACAUAAGAAAUUGUUUCAUUGGACAACACAUUACUGCAGGAGGUAACAAAAAUGAAAGAAGGUUCUCAGGAACUGGAAUUAGCAUUCAAGGGAAUGAUAAUGCUAUCACUGAUGUUGUUAUUUUCUCUGCUGCUAUUGGAAUCAUGCUUUCUGGUCAAGCCAACACAAUUUCUGGUGUACAUUGUUAUAAUAAAGCUAGUGCAUUUGGAGGUACUGGAAUUUAUUUGAAAUUACCAGGUUUAACACAAACAAGGAUUGUAAAUUGUUACAUGGAUUACACAAAUAUUGUUGCUGAAGAUCCAGUUCAACUUCAUAUCUCAAGUAGUUUCUUCCUUGGUAAUGCAAACAUUGUUCUAAAAUCAAUCAAAGGUGUUGUAAAUGGUCUCAACAUUGUUGACAACAUGUUCAGUGGUUCAAAUCAUGGUGUUAAAAUUGUGAGGCUAGACCAAUCAAUUAGUCAUUUUAAUCAAAUUAAUCAAGUUUUUGUUGCUAGAAAUGUUGUUAAGGGUAUGAAUUUAAAGGCCACUUCAGCAAUGAUAUCUAUGCAUGGAAAUGGAACUUCAUGGAUUGUUGAUUUUAACAAAGUUUUGGUUUUUCCUAACCUUAUUAAAAAUGUUCAAUACUCUUUAAGUGCAAGUGGUAACAAAUUUCCUAAUCAUGUUCUUAGGAAUGUGUCUCACAAUAUUGUUGUGAUUGAAACCAAUGAGCCAGUUAAUGCAAAGGUUUUUGUAACAGUGGAUCAAGGUAAUUCAAAAUGAAUAUAUAUAUAUAUUUUUUUUUUAUGCUGGCAUGGCAAGAAAUUUGGUAUAGUAAUUUUUUUUUUACUUUUUUCUUUGCAUAACAAUAUUAGAUAUAAAGUAUACAAAAGAGAUUUUAGAUUUUAUGCUUCAAAGUUAUUAGAUACAUUAUACUGUAAGUAGUGGCAAAGGGUUAUUAGUCAAAUUAUUAUUUGGUUUACUAUGAAUUCUUAUUUACCAUUAUUAUAUUGCUUUGAUUAACCAUAAUCUAUGUAAAAUAUGUUGGUCAAUUUUUUAAGGUAUAUAUUAUUUUCAUUUAUGGUCACUUUUAUAUCUAAUAUUAACUAGUCAAAAUUAAUUUGUUAAACAAGAAAAGACAAUACAAUAGUGGCAAAUUAAAGAUUGGAAUGUAACAAGAGAAGUUUCCUCCCUCUAAAGUUGACUAAAGUAAUGCACCAUCUGAAUUAUUAAUAUUUUUAUCAAAUAUAAAAAAUUUAACUAUUUUUAUUCUAGUUAAUAAUAUCACUCCUAAAAUACCUUUCAAUUAAUCUUCGAAACAAAAAUAUCUCUUUAUAUAUAUAUAUAUAUAUAUAUAUAUAUAUAUAUUACAUUCAAUUACUCUUGUUUUUUUUUUGGAAUAAGUUCUACAAUUUUGAAAGUAUAAACUAAAAUUUUUAAUAAACAUAAAAUUAAAUAUUUUUAAUCAAAACAAAAUUAGUAUUGUAUUGACAUUAUUAUAAAAAAAAAAUUUAAAAGAGACUGAGUUCAGUACAAGAAACUGAUUUCAGCACAUGGCAAACCACCAUUUAAAUUUCAUCUAUGAAAUAUGUAUCUAAUAAUAUCUCGAAUAAAAUUACUUCCAAUAAAAGAAAUUUGUGGAAUAUAAAAUUAAUUGUAUAGUUUAUUAAUUUUCACUACCAAUUGAGCAAUAAUGGUAUUUAUUCUCUAUAUAUCGAAUUCGAUUCUCACGACAAAAAUUUCGUAAGUCCUAACUGGGAGAAAGGGAGAGGUUCAUGAAUAACAAUGACGGUGUAAAAGUACCGAUAAAAAACUAUGCUAAUUUUUAAGUUGGAAAAGGAGGAGCGAGAAGUCUGUAAAUAAUAGUGAUGCCACUGUAAUAGUAUCGAUAAAAACUCGUAAAUUUUUAGUUGAAGAAAAAAGAGACCGAGAAACCUGUAAAUAAUAUCGACAUUUGUCAAUUAAACUAGACUUUAUACCGACAUUUAUUUUUUUAUUAGUUUCUUUGUCACUAGUUAAUCUUGUUAGGUAUAUUUACCUUCUCCUGUUCUUUAGGCCACAUUGAUUGAUAGUGAAAGAAAUUUCGGCCCAUUAAUUCCUACAUCAUGUUGUUGAAGGACUAGAACCAGUUGACCAAAAAAUCCUUACUUACAUGUGACAUUUUUUUUGUUGACAAUUUACUUACAAGUGACUUAUUACCUCUACUUACAUAAGCCAUAAACAAAAUGUUGAAUUAAAACCUUUGGUGACAAACAAUGGUUAAUGUUGACUACUAUUAAAACACAUUGAGAAGAUGUAUUAUUAAUAACAUUUUUUAAUAGUUGUGGUUGUGGGUCACUAUUGGUAAUGCGCAACUGUCUUAUAAUGUCACACCCGUGGUGACCCACUUAAUAAUGGAGCAACAAGUAUACAAAUUCUAGCAUAUUAGGGUACAUAUUUGGAUCUCUGCACUGUUCUCUCUAGUUCAACCUUUACGGAUUUGAAUUUGCUCCAGAUCUUUAUUUCAAUAAUUUUUUUUUAUAAAUUGAAAAUUUGGUUGAAAUCUAAAUAGCAGAGUCAUUAACUCCAUGAAAACGGGUAGUCAUUAACAUAAUAAUUUAAUUGGUUAUUUUUAAGAUAAACAAAUGUUAAUAAACUAUUAUUACGUUAAUUUUUAGAGUUUAAACCCUUAAAAUUUGUACUUAAAACUCGUUUGAAGUGAUUCAAUUCACCAACAACAAUGUAAUUAUAGAUGAUUUAGUAUUUGAAUUGAUUAUUCAACAAUUGACUAAAGAGCACAAAGGUGAAAUGCCAAAAAAAAAUUGAAAAUCCAAAAGUAAAAAGGAAGCACAGCCAAUUGAAAAAAGCACACUAACAAAUUUAUUGGCUGCUUCAAGGCAGUCCAUAUCUUAACCUUAUCUUUAUGAGAGCGCCUCACAAUCAAGUCCCUACCUAUUGCAACCACCAUACAAUAAACUAAAUAAUAACAAUAAUUAAAACAAUAAAUAAAAUAUCCCACUAACCCAUUUCCCUUUCAUAAUUUUUAUAUUUAGGAGGUUAAUAGUUUUCAAAAAAAUUUAAUAAUAAAUUGUACACUUUUAUAUGAGAUGAUUUGAUAUUUUUUUAAUUUAAUCAAUCAGAAAUUGAAAAUUUAAAUUUAAUCUUAAAAAUGCAACAAUUUAAUUUUAAUUUUCGUUCAUUGUAAUCUUAUCUGAUUUAAAAGGUUAAUCUCUACAAUUAGUUUAGUUUAUACUAAAAGAAGACUAGUGAUAACAUACAAGACAAGUCAAUGCAUGUACUUUCCUCACAAAAAAACUUAAAAAAAAAAAAAAACCCAUAAUGUUAACAACCUAACAUACUCUCUUAUUGUUGGAUAUAUGUAAAAGAUUCCUUCAUUAUUUUAAUACAAAUAUAAGACAACUUGUUGAGACCAUUCACCAAAAAAAACUCUUCUUUCAUAGUCUUUGAGGAAAAAAAUAGAGUUCCAAAGAAGAAAAUGAAAAAGGGUAUUUUCCUAUUGUUCCUUAUCGUAUUGUUCCAAUUUAAUCUAAGCAAAUCAAGUUCAUUGAAGGUAAAGGGUUGUACCUCAGAAGAUUGUUUAAUCAACAAUGAUUUUGAUUCAGAAGAGUUUUCUUUUAGUUCUCAUGUAGCAAGAAUGCUUUAUGAGGGGAGUCAAAGUCAAACUGGUAAAACUGCUAAUAACAAUGCUGCUUCUGUUAAGUGUCCUACAAAUCAAGGCUAUCGUAGUUGCUUGCCUACUGCAACUGGUGGUACUCCUAACUAUAGAUGUGCUACUUACACUAGAGGUUGCAAAUAAAAAAUCAAUCUUUUGUUUCUUUCUUUUUUUUUUCAUUUUUGUUUUCAUUUUAAUAUAUCUAUAUAUUGCAAUAAUCUUUUGGACAAGUUUUCAUUUGUGUUUAAAUAUGAUUGUAUUGGAAAAAAAAACUGUCUUAAGCCUUCAAAUUCAAAUGGAAAGGGUCUCGUCAAUCUGGAGUUUGAUCGAGUGGUAAAUAAAUUUUGAUCAAUGAUUGUUUCGGUCAAGGUUUAAAUUCGAUACUUCUGGUUGAUUCGACUUUAAGAGAAGUUUGAUCAUUGAAUUGUAUUGAAAUUUGUAUCUCAAGAUGUAAUAAUUAUUAGUAAUUUAAUAUUUUAUGUUAAUUGUUAUAUGUAAAUUUUUGUUGUUACGAAUAAAUUCUCCAUGUGAGAUGGAAAUGCUUGUGAGAACAUGAUUCAACCCUUUAUGUUAAUUUGGUUCAAUAUCUGUUUCAGCAUAUGUUUCUCAGGUUUUAAUGAACAUAUCUUAAAGUUUUUUUUUUAUAUACCUUUUUGAUUAAUUUUUGCAUAUCAUUUUUUUUUAAACUCAAAAUUUAUGCAUGAUCUAGUAUUUGUGAUUGAUUUAGUUUUUGAAAAAUUGAGAAUAAGAAACUGUGAAGAGAUUGUCCUCUUAACCUGUGAUUAUUGUUGAACAACUGGAUUUCAGAUCAGCAUCUGAAAUGGUUUAAUAGUUCAUACUAUUUUUUUUUUAUUAAUUAUUUAUUGUCUCAAGAUAUAAGUUUAAGGGAUUUGGAUUAGUCGCAAUAACUAUGUUACGUAGUAAUGCAUUUUAGUCAUUUAAUUUGAAUCAAUAAUCAAUAUCAAAUAAGUGUAUAUAAUUGACUUUAUCAUAUUAUGAACCAUCUGAUCUCAAAUAAACGGUCUAUAUCAAUUACUGACUUCACAAGUCAAAAUUUUAGACUGACUUCAACUUUUAGUCUAUGAUUUGACUUUAUUUAUUUUCUAAAAUCAACAUUUAAAAGUACACACUAUGUGCACCAAUCACUUGUGUCGAGUUUGUUUAGUAAAUAAACAAUUUGGAUACAAUUUUUUGUUUGACCAUAUAUCUGCAUAAAUGGAGGAAAAAUAUUACGAUUGAGAUAAUUAUCAUUAAUUAUCUCUAGUUUUUCCCAACAAUAAUAAAAACGAUUAAAGUUGACACACAAAUCACAAUUUGUUGUUUUUAUGAUUUUUGGAACAUUAUUCUAUUAUGUUCGACUUCAUUCUAUUACAUACUACCAAUUCAAACAUACCCUGGUUAAAAAAGAGCUCGAUUGGUGAUUGGAAAUGGCAUGGAGGUAAGAAUAUUGCAUGACAAGUGGUAUGGAGAAUGAAAAAGAGAUUGCAUCAUUCUCAUAUCUUUUAGGCUUUUAGAGAAUAUUCAAUUUAAAUGUGUAUUGGAUCGUAAAAACCGAGUAGUUCUGUCAAAGUUGAUAAAUACAAUUAGAAUCACUUGUGAAAAACUAAAUAUGAGCAGGAAGAAUCGUAAUAGAACAAAUUAAAAAAUUUCACCUUUCUUUAGGAUUAAAAAAUGUUAUUAAUUAGAGAUAAAAUAUGUUACAGAGUAAAUGAAUAAGACAUGUGCCAAUUAGUGGAGGUUGGAGGGAACUAUUAUUAGCUAAACAGUUGUAACUGAAUUACUAUAUAGGAAAGUAGUUAGUUAGUUGAUUCGGGCAUUCAUAAUAAAAACUUGUAUUACACUUCUUCUUCUUCUUUUCUCUGUUCUCAAACUUCCAUUGUAACUCAAUUCCAGUUCGAAUUCUUUUCAAUAAAUAAGAAUUCCUACUGUUUGUGAUUGAAUUCUUCGUUUUCAUUGUUGAUUACCUAGAGUUCCAUAACCACCAUAUCAAUUGGUAUUCAGAGCUUUUUUUUUCUCUGGGAGAUGGCGGAAUCUACUCGAACUCAGAAGGAAAGGAAGAUUGGUAGUUGGCAAGGAUGUGCAAUUAAGGCAAGAAUUGUUACAUUGGUUUCAUAAUGCAGCCUCAGGGGGUCACUCAGGCAGAAAUGCUACUACACAAAGGAUUAAGGUUGUUCUUUACUGGAAAGGCCUGAACAAGGAUGUCAAAGCCUUCAUACAGCAUUGCCCAACUUGUCAGAAAUGCAAGUAUGACACUGAUGCCUACCCAAGUUUAUUACAACUUUAACAAUCCCUGAUCAUGCGUGGAAGCACAUCACAAUGGAUUUCAUUGAGGGAUUGCCUAUUUCUUAUGGGAAACAAGUUAUUUUUGUUAUAGUAGACAUAUUGAGUAAGGCUGCUCAUUUCAUAUCCUUAGCUCAUCCAUAUACUGCUAGCAUUGUAGCACAAGCAUUUUUAGAUAAUAUCUUCAAACUCCAUGGUUUUCCAGAAUCUAUCACCAGUGAUAGAGAUCCAGUAUUUGUUAGUCACUUUUGGAAGGAGUUAAUGGCUUACCAAGGAGUUCAAUUACAACUUUCUACAUCAUACCAUCCUCAGACAGAUGGCCAAUCUGAGGUGGUCAAUCGAUGUCUAGAAACAUAUUUGAGGUGCAUGUGUGCAGAGACUCCACAACAAUGGUCCAAGUGGUUGCCAUUAGCUGAAUGGUGGUAUAAUACUACCUUCCACACAUCAAUUCAGGCUACCCCUUAUGAAAUUGUGUAUGGUCAACCUCCUCCUGCCUAUUUACCUUACUUGCCAGGAGAAUCUAAAGUUCAGUUGGUGGAUAGAAGUUUAGUUAAAAAAGAAGAGAUGCUGAAGGUUCUUAAGUUCCAUCUAAGAAGGGCCCAAGACAGGAUGAAACAAAUUGCUGAUAAGCAUAGAAGUGACAGGAAGUUUGCAGUGGGUGAUUUGGUUUAUGUCAAACUUCAAUCCUACAAACAGGUAUCUGUGGCUGCCAGAUCCAAUGAGAAAUUGGCUCCAAAAUACUUUGGACCAUUUCUAGUGAUUGACACAGUAGGAGCAGUGGCUUAUAAACUACUCCUUUCUGCCCAUUCUAAAAUACACAAUGUAUUUCAUGUUUCACAGGUAAAAAAACAUAUUGGCAAUGCUAUCACCUCUACUGAUCUUCCUUCCAACACAAAUGAAGUUCUUGCUGUCAAAGAACCUGAGUUGAUCAUGGAAAGAAUGACUGUCAAACGCAGAGGCCAAACAGUAACUAAAGUGUUGGUCAAAUGGAAGCACCAAUUGCCUGAGGAUGCCACUUGGGAAUUUUAUUUUGAUCUUUGUAAGAAGUUCCCUAAUUUUCAUUCUUGAGGACAAGAAUGUUUUCAACGGGGGGCAAAGUUAUAGAGUAAAUGAAUAAGACACGUGUCAAUUAGUGGAUGCUGGAGGGAACUAUUAUUAGCUAAACAGUUGUAACUGAAUUACUAUAUAGGAAAUUAGUUAGUUAGUUGAUUCAGCAUUCAUAAUAAAAACUUGUAUUACACUUCUUCUUCUUUUCUCUGUUCUCAAACUUCCAUUGUAACUCAAUUCCAGUUUGAAUUCUUUUCAAUAAAUAAGAAUUCCUACUGUUUGUGAUUGAAUUCUUCGUUUUCAUUGUUGAUUACCUAGAGUUCCAUAACCACCGUAUCAAAAUACCAUAAGAAUUGAUUUUUACCCCACCAUUGUUUUCCAAUCUUUCUAUUUUUAUUGAAGUCUUGAGUAGAAUACUCGACAACAUUUAGGCAUGCAAUUAAUCUAAUGUACUCACAUCAUCUCAGGUUCCUUAAAAUUGCACCUUCAUUCAUCUUGAUGCGAAAAACUCCAAAAUUACUCAUCUUGCGAAAAAUCCCAAAUCCCUAAAAUCACUCGAAGCCUUACAUGAUCAAAAAACUUGAACUUCAACUCAAAUCCCUGCGUAUUGCUUUGCACCGCCGCUACAUUUUGUUCUAAGCUUCAUUGGUAUGAAUCUCUUUCUUAUUUUCUUUUUCUUCAUCUCUCGAGUUCACUCUUGUUGAUUCCUUUUUUCUACCCUAUUUUUAUGUUGCAACAGGUAAAUCAUGUUAGUGAACGAGAAGUUUUAAAUCCGCAAGCUUACAUGUUGUUCUAUGCUCGUGAUAGAAAAAGUAUACUAUCAAUUAAUAUGUACAUGCUUGCAUUAACAGGUUUAUGUAUUUCAUUCAUGUUGACCUAAAAAUAUUAGAGUACUAGUUUCGUCACACAUUUUAUUUCAGGAUCUCUGAUUAGAUGAUACUCACAUGUAGGUAAAUCUUUUUAGUGUUCCUGCUCUGGUAGUAUUUAAUUGAUUGGUGUAGAUAUGUAUGCCUUAGCCUAGUCUGUACCAAAUGCAGAAUCCUGCUACAUGCCAAAUCCUUUGAGUUAAAACGAAUCCCUUGAGUUAAAACGAUGAUAUUCAAAUUUCACCAAAUGUAGGGAUUUGGUGUCAUCAUCAAUGUGUGGAUGGAUCAGGUUAUGUUGUUCGUAGUUGUACAACUAACAUUAAAUAGAUAUUGUGCCUUGAAAAUGCUUUGGAAUACCGUCCUUCAUUUCACAUGCUAAAUGCCAUCCUUGAUUAAUAUAUAGCUAGCUACUUCAAUUUUUUUGAAGAAGAUAUAAGCUACUUUAAUUAACUAGCUCAAUUGUUCAUCUUAUGUUUUCAUAUUUGUAUUACUUUUUCUCCUUUUCUGUACUGAGUACUAUAGAAUUACCUUUAUCUCAGCCCUUGGUGUCGAAGAAUGACCAGAUUGCCAGCAUUGGAUAUGUUGGGAAUGAAUGGUGAGCUCAACUAUAUAUAUUGUUGUUCCUUUUCCUUGUUUACCAGGGAAGUAAUUGAAUGCUUGAAUCAUUUUUUGAAGACCAUGGUUUGAAAAAAUUAUCAAAAUAGCAAUGUAUGAAGUUCUGGUAGGGUAGGCUCAAUGUGACUAUUUUGAUGAAUAACUGCAUGUAUAUCUAUUAAUUUGUAUCUUGCCACCUCAAAAUUUACAGGGAUGAGGAAUAUGAUAAGGGGAAAAGGAAGAAGUUAAGGGACUCCAAGCAGAGCUUUGGUGGGUCAAAUAUUUUCCAAGAAAUUGCUACUGAGAAAUCCAAGUUAAAAAGGGCAAAAAGGAACCAUUCUACCUCAGGGAACCCUCCAUUUAGGAUACGACUAAAAAAUUCCCUUCUAUCCUAUGUGGGUUUCUUGUUGCAAUUAUCGGUUUGUCAAACACUGAAAAUGUGGUGAAGCGAGCACAUACCUUUUUCUUUUUUCCAGUAUAAAUUCUAUUGGCUGCAUCAUAUUGUCUUUGGAGCUGAGCUGAGCUCUGUUCGAAAUUCUAUUGGCUGCAUCAUAAUGAUUAUUAAAUGUCCAACUAGCUCUCCACUUUCUUUCCAUAAUUCUAUUCUUAUAUGCCUUUCUUAGUAUAUAUUUUCCAUAUGCUUGUAAAUACAGGUGCUAGAUGGUGUAAUUAAAUAUAGAUGGAAUGCAUUACCAGUUGAGCAGCGGGAUGGAAUGAAAAAUUUCAUCUCUGAUGUUAUUGUACAGGUAUUACUCACUUAGAGGAUGCUGAUACAUGAGCUAUUCUGACUUACAUUUUUGUUUUAUCAGUACUUAUAAUAAUUAUGUAUCCUUCAUUCCAUUAUUUACCUGUUUUGCACAGCUUUCUGGCAACGAAGCCUCAUUUCAAACAGAGCGAUUAGAUGUCAACAAACUCAAUAUUAUAUUGGUUCAGGUGAAAUUGACAUUGCAUUUCCUUUCAAUCAUUUAAGUUGAUUUAUUCAUGUUAUUCUCAACCAAUUAUGCAGUCCAUUUGCUUUAUUUAUCUUGAUGAAAAACUAUACAAUUUCUUCAGUUAAACUUUAUUUCUGAUUUUUAUAUGGAGAUUUGCCUUUUCGUUUUCCUUUCUCUCUAAAAAUCUGGAUUUGCAACAUGCUUCGGUAACUACCUAAAAAUGUGUUAGUUAUAACAUUUAUAUUAUGAUCAGUAUAUAUUGUAGUAUAUAUUGUAUAUGCAGAUUUUGAAGCAUGAGUGGCCAGCGAGAUGGCGAAACUUUAUUGCUGACCUUGUUUCAGCAACUAAAACCAGUGAAACAAUUUGUGAGAACUGUAUGGUGAUAUUGAAGGUAAGUUUAGGUUUAUCUUUAUAGUAUAGUACAAAUCUGACAUUAAGAAAAUGCAGGAUAUGAAGACACUUGUGAUAUUAAGGACCAAACGACACACAUAACAUUUGAUAUAAAUUUAGAUUAGACAUUAGAAUUCAUUGGGUAUACAUUACAAAUGUAACUUUUUUACACAUUCAUCCAAUUACAUUUAACUAUAUAACUAACUGUAAAAAUAUUUUAUAAACUGAAUCAUGAGAUGUGAUUAAUGCAUGUAAUUUUCUUUUAAUAGAUAUAAUAUCAAUUAAAAAUCCUAUAAUAAGUUAUUCGUAUUAAGGCUUAAUGAACCAAACUUUAAAUGGAUAUGCUGUAUGGGCCUUUCUUAAGUUGUUUUUUAUGCAUUAUCAAUUAUAUCAUGCUUCUGGUUAUAUUUAACUAUAUUGAUUUGAUUUGUUAUUUUUGUCUAUUUUUCAAUUGUUGACUGUGGCGUCGGCCUGACCGACGCGAUAUUCUUGAUAAAGUUUUACUUAAUUGUCUACUGACAUUAGCGACGGUCCUUCCGACGCCAUAUAAUUUUUUCAAGUAACGUGCCGACGGUUAUAAACUAGCCUUGGAUGUUCCAUUUUUGCUGGUAGCGUCGGAGUAGAGUAGAUUAUGCCGACGCUACAUUAGCGUCAUAUGGUAUUUGACCGACGCUAUGUAUUAGGUUUGACCGUUUUAGCCUAGGCCAACACCGACGCUAAUUGGAGGCUAAAUUAAUAUUAGCGUCAGCUUAGUCUAUUAGCGUGGACUUAUGGCCGACGCUAGUAUCAGUUUUUCUUGUAGUGUUUUGUUUCCACUUACAACUCAACAGAUUAUCUAAACUCCAUUGAUGUAAUUAACGUGAAUUUAAGGAAGGAAAAAUUCCCAAAUCAAGAGGAAAUAAAGAAAGAGGUGAAAAAGAAGUACAACUUGUUUGAUUGUGUUUUACUUUUUAUUUUUUGAAAACUAUUUUAUAGAUAAAUAAAUUUGAGACGAGAAUGAGUUUAGGGUGUUCACAUCAACCUGCAAGUGCACCUGAAUACAUGUACAUAUUGAAUAUACUUAAUAUUUUUUUAAAUAUUAAAAAUUAUAAUUUUAUCUCUGUAAAAAAUAUUUUAUUUAAUUUUAUUAUUGUUUAAUUAUUAUUAUUUUAUUUUUUUCAUUAUAAUAGAUAUAAUUUAUAUAUAUAUAUAUAUAAUAAAUCGGGAUAGGGAGACAAAAUCCACUUUUAUCUCGUCUCGUUACUAUGCCUAGACAUCACAUCUCUACACUUGAUUGAGUUUAAGUGUGAAUGAUUAAAUCUCAUAUUGAUUUAGAAUAAAUUAAAUGUUGGAUAUGAUCUUAUAAUUAAUAUUCUCUUAGAAAUCUUAGUUUCGAAGUCUUAGUGGUUGAAGUGAAGAGUUACAAACUUAAGGGAUAAUUAGAGGCAAAGUGUGCUUCCAGUGGGUCGAGCCUCCGCUGAUUUCUUAGACACUUUAUAACCUCUUCCUCGAUCGCAUUAUUACAAAGUUUACAAACUGCAUGCAUAAUAGUAACUUAUUAUUUUUUUGGUUUUUGUUUUUACCCUUAGACUUUAUAGCAACCUCAUACACUAUACACAUAUAUAAAUGUUCAGAUGCUUCAGCAUACACCUUAUGUACUAAACAUUUUGAAAGUACAAAAAUUAAAGGAUAGUAACAAAAGACUAUGUAGAUAUACUUUCUUUGGAAAAUAAACUAUAUUUUUUAUAAUGAAAGAUACAAUAUUAUUAUGAUUGCCAUAUAUAAGAUCGUUCAUUGAUUCCUUAAAAUGUAAUUUUCAUAGGUCUACUUCAAAUGCAUUCUGAACAAACCUUAAAAACUAAUUUUUUAUAACUCUUACUGUUAUUGAAGUAACAUUUGAUGGAAAAACUUCAUAGAUACACUCUUUUGCCAUAUAUAAGAUCGUUCAUUGAUUCCUUAAAAUGUAAUUUUCAUAGGUCUACUUCAAAUGCAUUCUGAACAAACCUUAAAAACUAAUUUUUUAUAACUCUUACUGUUAUUGAAGUAACAUUUGAUAGAAAAACUUCUUAUACAAUCUUUCUUGCCCAGUUUAUCAAAGAUAUUUUCAUAGGAAUAUCUUAUAUAUGUAUUUGUAGAAACUUGGUAAGAAGACAAAACCAUCAGAACAUAAAUCUCUUAGGUAAUGUUUAUGAUCUAUAUUUCAAUUUAACUUGAAAAGGUAAAUUAAAUAAUACAUUUUUUAAUAUUGCAUGUUUCAGGACUUCAGGUGGGUAGUAAUUGUGCAAUGUUCUACAUUAUGAACAAGACAAAAAAUUCAAGUAAUUAAUUACAAAUAUUAAGGCUCUUGCAAUGUUUAUCAACAUUAUGAUCAAGACAAAAAAUUUAAUGUAAUUAAUUACAAAUAUUAAGGUCAGUGUAAAUUGAAUUAAGCAAAAUGAUCUAGUGGUUCUGCAGAACCAUUUUUUUUAGAGUAAAUAAGGUUUCCGUUCUAUAAAUAUAUUAUAUUUCUUUUUUAAAUUUGGCUAAAACAUUUCCUUAAAUAAUUGUUCCUCAAAUAUCUUUAUGAAUAAUUUUGGUAUGUGAUUUUAAGUUAAAUGACACUUAUCAAUCGGAUUUUUUUAGGAAUAUUUAGAACAUUAUAAGAAUCUUUUUAUAAUAUUUUGAAUUUUUUAAUAAAGAUAAACUAAAUGUGAAUUUUUAAGCGCAAAAAGCUUAAAAAAAUCAUACUUAACUCAUCAUUUAUUAAAAAUAUUUAAAUUUUUAUAAGAAAGAUUCUUAUAAUGUUCUAAACAUGCAUACAAAAAUAAUUUAAAAAUUCAAACAGUACAUAUGAAUUAUUUAAAAGUCGGGAUAAAAAUAUUUGAUGGACCAUUAUUUGAAUUUUUUUUAAAUAAACUAAAAAUAAAAUAUGAUAUAUUUAAAAAAACAAAAAAUUUAUUUAAUUCUUUAUAUAUAUAUAUAGCAGAAACAUAUUAAUUUUUUUUUAGGAAAAUAAACAUAUUACUUUAUCCUGUUUACAUGAUUUAAUGUAUUUAACUUCUUUGACAUUUGACUAAAAAAAAAAAAAACUUUCCUUGGCAUUUCACCUUGGUCAUAUUAUAAGAAACAUUACUAGAUUUCAACCACACCAACAUGUUUAUUGAAAAUUUAUUUAAUCUCCAACAUUCUUAAUUCACUAAAUUACAACCAAUAAAUAGAAUACAUCUUUCAAAGGGUGCUCUAGCUCAACAGAUUCUCUAGAUGCUUGCAUUAUUAUACUUAUAAUGUUAAAAAUUUGUAAGAUAGAUAAUAAGCCAAUAUUUGCAAUUUUCAUUUAUUCAUUCAAUAAAAUAAAAAAGUAUCUCUCUAACACAAAUUGCCUAAAACAUAUUCAAACAAUUAUGCUUCCUAAAAUUUCGAACUUAUCAUAUUGUGAGUGGUUUGUUCUGAGUAUGAUGAAAUUCCUAAACUCAAUUUAUUUAAACUUUUUAAACAAAAAAAAUUCAAACUUCAAAUAGAUUCAAGUCCAUGAACAAAAAGGGAAGAAAAAGCUUCCAUCUCUUCCUUAUUCAAAGCCAAACCAAUCUCAAUUCCACCAUUACCAUUCCUAUUUUCAGAAAGAGAAAAAGCUCUUGUUUUAUCAAUUGAAGUCAUAUCAACUUUCUUAGGCUUUCCAAAUCCAAAAUCAAUACCAUAAACUUCAAACCUUGGUGAUCCAGCAAUAGAAUAAAUUUUAGUACUUUCACUUCCUUCAAACAUAUAAGAAAGCCAUUUUUUUGCUCCAUUCAAAACUUCACCAUCUUUAACUCUAUUCAAACUUUCAUUAAUCUCUUCCN